This 76319-nucleotide long non-coding RNA is filed under the name Cucumis sativus (cucumber). RNAcentral's name for it is "long non-coding RNA (CSAT_LNC000711)". Lineage: Eukaryota; Viridiplantae; Streptophyta; Magnoliopsida; Cucurbitales; Cucurbitaceae. The record is from RNAcentral.
UUAGUAAAUAAACGUUUCAAUACUUGUAAAUAAGCUAACAUAUUUUAUAUUCAUAUAGUUUUUUUUUCUUAAUUUUAAAGUUGAUUACAAUCUUUUUUUAAUAAUUUAAAGUCAAAUUAAAGUAUUAUAACAUUUGUAUUUAAAAAGUUUUCAAGUGAUUUUGGACACAUAUAAUGUAAAAAUGAUUUGUAAUCAUAGAUUAGAGAUGCAUACAAGCACAACUUACCGAAUUUAACAUUUAUUGACUUUUAAUUUCAUGUUAUAUAUUUAAGAUUAAAAGCAUUUAAUGGCUUUCAAACCUAUUCUGUAUGCCUGAUAUGUAUAAUAAACAGUAUAAAACUGUCUAUAUUAAGUAUUGGAUUUUUUUCAAAAGUAUUUAAGUUUUUAAGUUCGUGAUAAUUCAAUUAUUUUUAGGUUGUAACAAAAAUAACAAAGUAUGUCGUUUAAUUUGAAAAAAUAGUAAAAAUAAUUUUAAAUUGUUAUAAUAGUAAAACAUAAAAAUUACAAAAAAAAAAAAAAAAACAAUCUCUCAAAUACCCCAACCCAAUAUAAAAAUUACAAUUAUUUAACUAAACUUAAAAUAUAUUGUAAUUGAAAUAACACAUGCUAAUUAGAAAAUCUGUCAUUAAUGAAAAGUUUCACCUCAUAUCUGCAAAAUUUAAAAUUUAUUUAAAUGUCUACAAGACCCAAUUCAUUCGAAAUGAGUAGUUGCAAAGUCGAGACACAUUCAAUCAAAGGGUUUGGCUCUACACGUGUCGAACAACCAUAGUUGAAAGCUUCAAAUUAAAAAUGGGAGCAUUGUUGAUAUUACGAUAAAGAUUAAAUCAUUAAAUUAUACCAUAGAAUUAAAAACUUAUAUACAAGAUACGCAUCGGUGAGUUCUUCAUACAUUCGAGAUUCAUUUGAGUUAUUUUCUCUUGUUUGCAAUAAAAAAAUUAUCUUUCACAUUAUGUUUAUCUCUUGUUGGCUGUCUCUCUCCCUCCCUUUAUUUUUUUUUAUCUAAUAAAACCUAAAAGAAAACUAUUCAAAUAAUUUAAAAAAUGUGAUUGAUGCAUAAAUAAAUCCUAAAAUUUAAAUUCAAUUUUUUAUUAAAAGCUACAUAUUACGUGUUAUUUAAUAAAUUGUUUAAAAUAUAACAAAUUUGAAGAUAGUCAUUAGCACAAAUAUAAUCCAGCAACAAAAUAACAAAUUUAGGUACAAUAAUUUUUUUUAUAAUAAAAAUCAAUCAAAAUAUGUGUAUAAUAAUAAUUAGCACAAAUGUAGUGAUGAUAAAACUUUGUUUUUAAAUUACUAUUAACCAUACGUAACAUGUAUUAUCUGAUAAUUUUUUUUUAAAUAACUUCAAAUAUAAAUAAUACGAAAUGCUUAAUUUAUGUUUGCUAUUAAGGAUAUGAUGUAGUAUUUAAAAUCAAAAUAUAAUGAUUUGGAAAUGAUUCAAAUUCUCAUAAUCAUUUUUUAUUAACCAUAGGUAUUAUGUACUAUCAUAUGAAAAUAAUGAAGUAGUGAUUGUCAUUGUUUUAGGGAUUAGAUUUCAUAAUAUUUGAAUUAAAAAUAUUAUGAAAUGUAAUGAAUGGAGAACGAUUGAAAUUCUUUUAACAAUUUUGUAGGGAAAAUUUUAUUAAACAUUAAUUAAAUAAAUAAAUGUUAAUUAAUUUGAUUUAAAUACUAAAAAUUCGAAAAUUUGUUAUGAAUUAUAGAGAUAUAUUUAGGGUAUAUAGAGAAAAUCUUGUUAGCCCAAAUUAGUUAAUAUUUUUCCAAACUAAUAGUAGUUUGCAAAUACACUUUAUAUGUGAUUGUGUGUUAUUUGACAAAUACAUUGUAUCUGAAAACACCUAUAGUAACUACCAGUUUUGUCAAAAUUCUUAAUAUUUUUCAAACUUUCUAUUUUUAAACUUGUUAUGUUAAAUUUUGCUAUUCACCGUUAUCUCUUAUUUUUAUAUUUUUUAAAAACCAAGCCACUAACUUGUUAAACACAAAAUUAAAAAUUAAUAUCUUAUAUUCACUAUUAAAAAAAACACAUACAUGCACACGAACAUACAAAAAUAUCUUAAACAUAAAAGUUAUUAAAUAUACUCUUAAUUAAAAAAAAAAAAAACGAAGAAUGAUAUAACUAUAAAAAAAACUCUAAGAAAAGACCAUCUCAAACAUUUGAUGUGUUGGUUUGAUAACAAAAAUAACAUCAACUUAAAACUCCCUCACUUCAUCAUCAAUCCUUCAAAACUUUUGAAAAGUUUGAUCCUUGACUCUUAUACACUAAAGCUCUAUUUGGGAUAGAGUUUGAAAUGGUUGAAAGGGAUUGUGAAAAAAUCUUAAUAUUUAGAUCUAAUAUCAUUUUAAUAAGAAAUCUUGUAAUUUCUCAACCACACAUAUAUAUUAGUGAAAUUUUAAAAAAUAAAAAUUUUUAUCAAAUGUUUACGGUCUAUAUAGCAUUCUAAAUAUUUGAAUUUAUUUUGUUAUUUUAAAAAAUGCUAGUAUAUAUUACAAUAAUAGUUUUCAUAUUGGUAUAUUUUUCAAAUUUGAAUAGAUUCAAUUUAAUUAUUUUCUCAAACCUUUAUCAAAUAUUUUAAAACAAAUUAUUAUUUAAUUAUCAACGAGAAUAUAAUGAAAAUAAUAAAUCAAUUUAUUAUUAAUUUAUCUAACGAUUUAAAUGAAUACAUACCCAAAACUAAUUUAUUUAUUUACAUAGUCGAGGAAACAAAGGCGACAUCUAUUAUUCUAAAAGCAAUAGCAACUCCGAAGUCGGAAAAAGGAACCAUAUAAAAGGGGGACACCCACGAGUACCGCCAGAAGUCGGCCAUGCGUGUAGCUUCGCGGCAUACAACAACGAUUCGUAUUUCAUAGAUAGACUUAGACUACACAUUGACCCUUUAACUCUGGUCUGGUUAGCCACUGACUCCCCCCAUCUCCUUCAAACGCUCUCUCCCUUCUUCCAUCCUUCCUUUAUUUAUUUAUUUAUUAUUAUUAUUAUUCAUUUUCUUAAUCUCCUCCCGAAUCCUUGUCUUCUCCUCUCCCAUGGUGUCCAACUAGCCGGCAACAUCACCCUUUCACCUCUCUGCAAUGUUGAACCUCUUCUCUUUGUCUCACCGCAUUUUCAUUUCCAUCUUCAUCUUCCUCUUCCUCGUCUCUCCGCCGUUGCUUCCUUCCUCCGCUCUUCCUCUCUCCGACUCCGAUCAACCGCUUCUCGCUAAUACUACGCUCCAGUCCAAUAAUGUUUCCGUUCCGAGGAAUAAGGAAGGUAGUUUUGCUGACAUCAUUGAUCGUGCUUUGGAGAAUGAGUUCAAGGAGAAUGACCAGAAUGAAGGUUAGUAGAUCUUUAGAUCUCGGCUUCUCACUUGUUUUUUGUUAGGGUUUUUAUUACUUUGGUGUAGCUAACUGCGGUUUUAGUGGUGAAUCUAUGUUAAUUGUGGUAUGCGGGUGUGUUGAAACGGUUUUUUUUUUUUUUUGUUUGCUACUAUGGCUCUAGGAGUAGGAUAAGGUAGAUGACUAGUUUUUGAUCUUGUGUGGUUUAAUUCUUUUGUAGUUAUUGGAUACGGAAUUCCUUUUCUUAGUAAGAGGAUGGUAUUGCGAAAUUUGUCUGGAAUUAUGGUUCCUGUAUGAAUUUGAGCUUUUCAUUUUUAUCGUUUAGAUCAAUACCUACCGAUCCCGUUUGUUAUUUCUACUAUUCUAUUGCUUGUGUUUCUUACUUGUUUUCUUUUAAAUGUUCGAUUAUUUUGAGUAAAUUGUCCAAUACGAUUGCUGGUGGUGUUGUUAUUGCAGCUCGUAUGAUGUUAAUAUAUUCUAUCUUCUGUUUGAGUAAUAUGAGGACAUUUCUCUCUCUUGCGUUUCAGCAAUUGAUUCAGGAAGCUUCAACAACAGUGUAGCAGAGCAGCAGGUUGGUAGUGAUAUGUUUUGUCAAUGUAGUAAUCAUUAUUUUCAAAAAACUUUUGAGCACAACUUGUGAGAAUUAUGGAUUUUACUCUGAUUUUGAACGAGCAAAAUAAUCUGUUCCAAACAUACGGGCACAAAAAUGUGCUGAUUUGGCCCUCAUUGAUUGGCGUUGUUGAUUAGGCAACUCUGGAGACUGUGGCAAGGGUGAAGUCAAAGAAAAAUGAUACGAAAGAGGAAAAGUAUAUGCUUCUUACUUUAGUAUUACAUUUCACUUUCAGGCCAUGCUAUACUGGAUUAAGCGUGCACUUCCUUAAACACUUGUGUUUCUACUUUAGGUUUCAGCUUCAAAACGUUUUCAAUUUGGACAGUGAUAAUAGAGCUGAAGAUACCCCUACAUUGAUUGAUCGAAAGGUAUGGGUAUUUCAUUUUCCGUAUUUUUUCUGUGUCAGAUCGUCAUUUUGUGCUCAAGGUUGGUAAAACAUUUUUCUUUUCUCAGGACAAUGUCUUUAUCAUAUCCAACUUUAAGUCUAAAUAUCCAGUGCUACAAUUAGACUUGAGGUAUGUUUUUAUUUUAUGCAAUUGUUCCUCAAGUAAUGACUGAUAUUAACUUCUAAUUUUAUGAGUUGGCAGAUUGAUAUCUGAUUUGGUUAUCGUAAUUGUCUCUGCAACUUGUGGCGGCAUUGCCUUUGCCUGUGCUGGACAACCAGUACGAUUAUUUUUUACCUAAGCUAUUGAAUAACAAUUGUAGGAUGUGAUCUGAUUUUCAUGACAUGGACAAUCCUAUAUAUAUGUAACCUGUGUUAUAUUUUAUCAGGUUAUAACUGGAUACCUUCUAGCAGGAUCUAUUAUUGGACCUGGAGGAUUUAACUUUGUCAGUGAAAUGGUUCAAGUACGUUGCUCCUAAUCUAUCAUUUAUAGUUUUUCCAGGGCUCUUUUUUCCUCUGCCUAAAAAUUGGAAGAUAACAAUUACAUUUGUCAUAUUUUUCUGGUUGCAUGAGAUCUUCUCAGAUGUAUACUAUAGUAUAAUAAAUACCCCAUCAGGCUAUCCCUCUAAUCUUAUUUGUAUUUUUUUCUUCUCUAAUGAAUUUAUUUUAUAUCCAAAGUUAAAAUGGUGAGUAAUGAACCGGUAGAGACAAUAUAUAUAAGGUAAAAGAAUGGGCACUGUACAUUUUGGAUUAAUUUCUAGAAAAUGCACGAGAAAGUGGAAGCUGACUAGUUCUGUAUGCAUGGGGCUUUUAAUGAAAGUUGGUCCUAAUCUAUCAGGUUUACUGAUAGGGGUUAAUUAGUCAUUCUAUAAUUUGUUGUUAUAAAAGUUUAUUGUACAAAGUAUGUGUUAGAGAAGUUGGUGUGUUUGUUUUAAUAUUUAAAAAAAGAACGAAUGAUGGUUGCCCUCUCAAAAGAUCUCUCUCGCACUAUAAACGUAUACAAUGUAUAUUUGUCUCUUGUGAUGGUUAUUCAGAGAUAAAAAGACAUUUGUGUUGAUUUGUUUUCAUGUUGCCUUACCAAUGGCCAAAUUCUUUCUUUCGUCCUCAAGUUCCUUAUUGAUUUCUGUGAUUAGGUUGAAACGGUAGCUCAAUUUGGUGUAAUUUUUCUUCUUUUUGCACUGGGUUUGGAGUUCUCAACAACUAAGGUUAGUUUUAUUUCCAUUCAAGGUUAUUUGUAGAUGUUUAUAAAAUCACAAUACAUGUGCUAAGCCCAAUGAUAUGUUUUAGCUACGAGUUGUUCGUGCAGUUGCUGUUCUUGGCGGGCUUCUUCAAAUUUUCCUAUUUAUGUGCCUCAGUGGAAUCACAGCCUCGGUAAUAACUAGUGCUUCUCUGUAUUAUUUUUAUUUUUUUCCGGUUAACGAAAAGUCCAAACAAUCUUGUGUCAUUGACCACCCUAUUUUUUGGCCGUUGAAUAAAUUAAUUUGGAUCCUGCUUUAGCCAGGUUCUAAUACUCAACUUCCCUAUUGUUGCAUGCCUCCUAUUAAAUAAACUUUGCUUAUUUAUUUAAUGAUAAAAAAUUUGUAGCAAGUUUUACAAGACUCUUUUUCUUCGCUGUGAAUUUUAUUAUCAUUAUUGUUGUGUUGUUUUUAUUUAUUCAUUUAUUAUUAAUAUUAUUAUUAUUUUGCAGUCAUGUGGUGGGAGUGCUUCUGAAGGAGUUUUUGUCGGAGCAUUCCUAUCUAUGUCCUCAACAGCAGUGGUAGGAUACUGUAUAACUUUUUGAAUGGAUGACACUGGCAUGCUUUAUAGCCUAUGUUCUUGCCUGUAUGAUAAAAGAACAACUGUCUCGGAUUGCAGGUGCUGAAAUUUUUGAUGGAAAAGAACUCUACUAAUGCUCUUCAUGGACAAGUCACAAUUGGCACCCUUAUUCUGCAGGUAAUGUUUUAUUUUGUUUUUCUUUUCUUCAUGCAACCCUCUUAGGGGAAAAAAUUAUCGCCUAACCCAUCAGUUUCCUUGGGUUUGCAGGACUGUGCUGUUGGGUUACUGUUUGCUUUGCUUCCAGUACUAGGUGGGAAUUCUGGUAUUCUUCAAGGAGUGAUGUCUAUGAGUAAAGUGUACGUAUAAAUAGGAAUUUGUUUUACACAUGGGCAUACCCUCAAAUCUAGUUGUUACGUUUUUUCAGACAUAGUAAGUACUAUAAAUGGUUAUCUCAUGAGAAUUUUGAAGGUGCUUGCAAGUUUGCUUGGACGCUUAUGCAUUUAAAAAAAGAAAACCAAACAGUAAAUUUACUUCUUGGGCUUAAUGCUACUGGUGGUGUUCUUUCUAGAACACUUAAAGAAAGGACCAAAGAGUUCUCUAAAAUGUCUGGGAUACUUUUCUUCUGGUUACAAACUUGUGAAGUUCAAAGAUUAAGUUUGAGCUCCUUUGAGUUUGUGCAUGUUAUUCCUUCUUGUGAGGUAUUUAUUAUUAUCAAAAGAAGAGCAGAACUAGGUGCAUAAAACCAUAUUGUGUAUUUAUUAUCAGUACCUCGUGGAACUAGCUUUUUACGCCUUUUGCAGAUGGUUAGUUAUUCUUGAUAAGUCCAGGCCAGGAACUGGUUUUGUAUGACAUGUAGAUUAUACGAGAAAUUGUAGGGUAUGAAUCUUAUAUUUACAAGGUUUUGUAUUUCUCAAUCAGGUUGGUGAUCUUGGUUGGUUUUUUGGUUGCUUUGUCAAUUUUAUCCCGUACAUGUAUUCCUUGGCUCUUAAAACUGAUGAUAAGUCUAUCAUCACAGGUAUGCUUUAUUGCAUCUAUAUAUUUAUUAUUAUUGAAAUUUAUAUACCUGAUUUAACAACUAUCCGAAUUUCAAAUGCAUUGUCUAAUUUAUUUUUCUCUGCAGACCAACGAACUUUAUCAAUUAGCCUCAGUGGCGUUCUGCUUGCUUGUAGCCUGGGUCAGUAUCUACUUUUUUUUUCUGAGUUUGAUUUUAUGCAUGUGGAGAUGUCAUACUUUGAAUUGUUAUCAUUUCUAUCAUUCAGGUUUUUUAUGUAUAGGGGUACUAAGAAAGAACAUCAUUAAUUUUUUUAAAUAAAAAAUCAAACUUCCAUUUUGAAUCAUGAAAUUUUUUAAGGGCAUAUGUAAAGACAGCCCAGACAAUAGGAGACCUAACCUACUUAUAGGGCCACUAAUCCAAUAGAAUAAGGCCUGAUGGAUUAUUACAGAAGGCCUUAGAGCCCACUAUCCACCACAAGGGGGUCUUAAACUCAGUAUUAUUCCAAAGAACGCACCAAGACCGUUGAAACCCCUAAAGAAAUAUCUAAAGAUCCCAAUAUUUCGUUCACAACAAAUACACCUCCAAACCUAAAACAAAUAACAAUAAAUAGAAAUAAAUAAAUAAAUAAAAAGUCUUCCAAAGCACUUGCCUUUUAUAUCUUUGAAGGGAGGGAAUGGGACAACUUCCUUUUACUGUACACCUUUCUUCUUUUUUAAAUUAUAACUCUCUGGUGUAUGCCUACUUUGAUGGGAUACUAUUCCCAUGACUAAUGAAGUUGUAUAAUUUUAUUGGUCGCUAUAUGAUCAAUUGAAAUUACUUUGUUGGUGCUUUUCUGUUAAUUAUUGUUUUUACAAUUUCAGUGUAGUGAUAAGUUGGGCCUCAGUCUAGAAUUGGGUUCCUUUGCCGCUGGAGUGAUGAUAUCCACAACUGAUCUUGCUCAACACACACUUGAACAAGUAAGGCAUUUCAUUCCAUACUUUGUUUCAAGAGAUGUGUGGCUUAAUUGUAAUGUUACCAAGGCAUGUUGGUCUGGGUGUAUAAACUAUACAUGCAUAUAUGAAGAGUGUGUGCAUGUACUGUUUGUAUAUAUGUGUAUGUAGGUGAAUAAGGUGUUUAUUGCUCUUGCUUCUGUGUGGGGGUUUCAUAUGCUGUUAGUUUGUUUAUUUUUGUAUGGUCUUCAGAAAAUUGUAUCACAAUAUCCGAAUACUGUUAAUAUUCAAGAUGAUAGGAAUGGGUGUGAAAAGAAAUAAGGAAAAUAAGGUGGGUAGGAAUUUUGAAGGGCGAGGUGAAGUUGGAUAGAGGGAGGAUGGAUUCUUGCACUUUAAUACAGAUAAUAGGCUAGAAUUUUGUUUGAAAUGUUUGCUUUUCUGUCUCCCAAGAGUUAUGUGUUGAUUCCUAUUGAGUGAUUUUAUAAUUGCUUGUCUACAGAUAGAGCCUAUAAGGAACUUUUUUGCGGCCCUUUUUCUUGCCAGCAUUGGAAUGCUGAUACACGUUCAGUUUUUGUGGAACCACGUUGAUAUAUUAUUAGCAGCUGUUAUACUGGUGAUAAUUGUAAAAACAAUCGUAAUUAGCACAGUGGUGAAGGGAUUUGGGUAUAACAACAGGACAGCACUUUUGGUGAGGUUAUAUUACUAUAUCCUCGGCAUUCAUCCUUGUUCAUGAUAUGUUAUAAAUAACUGGUUUUCUCUUCUGGAUAUUGAUUUGUGAUGUGUAGGUUGGAAUGUCUUUGGCUCAGAUAGGAGAAUUUGCUUUUGUUCUUCUCAGCCGUGCUUCUAAUCUUCAUCUAGUUGAGGUCAGUGCCAUUAUCUUGCUUCUCAGGAAAAACAUUAAAUGAGAUGCAUGUAAAAAAAAUCUACUGUUAAUCAUAAAUGAUGAUGCACGAUCUCUGAAAUUCUUGGGGGAUGUUUUGGCGUGGAUUCAGUUUGUUCAGUUCAGCCUGGACUUGGGUAGUCUGGCGGUGGGGGUUUAAUCUGAGUCGUGAGAGUUUAGGAGGUCUGACGACCUUACUUGAACAUGAUUUGUUCUUCUAUAGGCUGUACAACUAUGUCCUUGAGAUGAAGAAAAUUGUGCUUGGUGUACAAGCUUAGGAAAACUAUAUAUUAAACGAAUCAUUAGGACUCAUAUUUACUCAAGUUUCUAAAAAAAAAAAAUGAAAAUCUUGUUAUUCCAAUAUGAUAAUUUCAAAGUUCAAAUUGUUUCUUCAAAUUUCUUUAUAGGAAAAAAGUGUUUCAUAGAACUGUGUUGUUUCAGUUGACUAGCUUCAAAAUAAAGUACUUUCUCCGGGCUGUUUUAAAAUGAUUAGUUAAAUGCUAUUUUAUUGUGACUAAGUUUAAUCUAAAAAAAGGUGAUUAAGUUUAAAUUCAAUACCAUACACACACUUCUGUUACUUAAUAUUUUGAAUCAAAUACUUAUUUUAAUAUGGCAAUUUUUUCCUAACUAUAAUCUUUUUUAUUAACUUCAAAAUAAAAUAAUGUUUACUUUUACUUAUUUUUUUCUACUUAAGAAGAGUUACUUUCAUUACCUUGAAUAUGGGUAAUCUUGUAUACAUAUAUUUAAUAAGCUAACUUCAAAUUAAAUACUCCGGAGUUAACUGCUCUACUUAAAUUAUUACUAUAUUAAAUUCUUUUAAUAUAAAAGUUCAAGAUUACAAAAGUGGGGAGGGGAGGGGAGCACAAUCAAAUGGGGCAAAAGCGUUGAAUAACUGAAAAAAUGGAAAUAUUGUUAAGAUCGCCCAGUUAUGUAGCCAUAUUUUUUAAACUAUUGUUACGUAAAAAUGGAUGAAUGAAAAUAAUACAUCUUUUCUUAUUGGAUACUGAUAUUAUGAUAAUUUUCAGGGGAAACUGUAUCUAUUGCUUAUUGGGACCACAGCCCUCAGUCUGGUGAGAUGUAAUCCAUUUCUGCAUGUUUAUAUAUCUAUGUAUCUACAUGAUGGUUUCAUAUGUGUCAUCAUAUGCUGUUGUAAUGAUUAUAUUUCUUUUCUCUGCAUGGUUUUAUUAAUUUUUUUUAUUGGCUUAUUUUGAGUUAUCUGCUAUUCCGUUUGAGACUUCUUUUAGAUAACAAAUAUACUUAAGAAUUAUGAAUAAUUUAGAAAUAGUUGAAAUUGUUAGCUCAAUUUUUCAUCACAAAAACAGGAAUUAGUUGAAAGCCAUUUCUUCAAUAUGAUUUGACAGAAAGAAGGAAGGCAUUGUAUUGGAACUUGGAAGUUAGGACAUUGAUUUGUCUGAAGGAUCAAUAACAAAACAAUAAAAAUUAAAAGCCAUCCAAUAUCCGUUGAUAGAAAAAAAACGAAUGAUUAUUAAGAAAAAAAGUAAACUUGCACUCCUAUAACCUAUUACUUUUUUUUGCAUGAGAGUGUGUUUCAGCAUUAUAUUAGUGAUUAAUUUUCUCAAGAAAUAAAUUUCUGGAUGGGGCAUUUGUUAAAAUUUCGUGCAGGUGACAACUCCUUUUCUUUUCAAGCUAAUACCUGCUGUAGUACAUUUAGGCGUGCUAUUGCGGUGGUUUUCUCCAGAUAGUCUCGUUGAGGUAGAAACAUUUUACUUGAAUCUAACUUUAUACACCGCAAUUUUCCUUGACUCUAAUCCGCUUGAUCAAAAUUUAUCUUCAUGUGAUAAUUCAGAUUGGAUUGAAAGGAGACAUCAUUCGCUCGGACAGUGUAAAGCAACGGGUUAUGUUGAUAGUCCAGGGACCUCACGAUUCAUGACACUGAUUGUAUGUCAAUUGAAAAUGAAAUAUCAUUUUCUUCUCAAGGAGUCAAAUUCUGGCCAGCUUAUUCCCAUGUACAAGUGAAGUCGAUUGAACCACUCUGUAUAUUUGUUCAUGUUUUUCUAGCCAUAUAAAAGCGUGUCCAGAAUCAUUUUUUUGUUUCACUUAACUGACCACUAGAUUUGGAAAAAAGAAAAAAAAAACAGAUUAGAGAGUACUAGAGAUGGAUGACCAGAUAAGAGCCAGUACAAUAGAAGAACACUAUUGUAUUUGUCUUCUUCAGUAUGACCUGAUUCUUUGUAAAAUGUAUUAUAGUUUGGAUAUUUAUAAUGAAAUUGGUACUGCACAAAAUAAUCACUAUGCCUUUUUUUGCAGUGUAAAAUAUUGAUUUUUACCAAGUUCCCAUUUAAUCUCUCAUCUGAUUUCAGCCUUCCGUUGCUACUUCAAGACUCUUCAUCAGAUAGCUAUCAGCAAAAGGAAAAAAUAAAGUUCCAAGGCUGUAAGUUCAUCGAUUCCCUAAAAAGAAAAAAACAAUUUACUGACAGCAGUAUUAUUGAUUGAAAGAACUGCUUAGAACCUUUGGAGGAUUUAGUAACUUCAACUUGAAUAUAUUUGUCUUUUGACCACCUAACCAAAAUGAGAGGAUAGAACUAGAAGUUCCUGUGACUUUGUCAAUUAGGCAUCAGAAAUAAGUAAAAAGUAAAAUGAGAAUCUUUCAUUCAUCUAUGGUUGCUGGGGAAUAAUAUAUUUCAACAAGAGGAGAGAGAAUUUAUGAUUUCAUUUUGGGGAUUUCAACCAUUUUAACUCUUGUUUGAUCUUUUUGGGUGUCCAGAUGUUGAUAGAUAGUUACAGGGAGUAAAUGAGAGAAUCCUUUAUGGUUGAAAUGUCACUAUUUCUUAAGAUUUGCCUGCAGGAACUGACAUGUGCUUAUUUAAUUUAACAGGUUAAAAAAAAAAAAAAAACUAUUUGAGUGUUUCUUCCAUACCUAGUCUCUCCUUCAAAGUUAAUUUUUAUUCUCUUUUUUGCAAGAAAAUAUAUUAUGUCAAUUGAAAGUCUUAAACAAAAUUUUGAAUGAUUCCCAAUUAUAAUAUGUGCUUACAACCACAAGAACAUAAAAUAAAAGUAUAAAAAAAAUAAACCUGAAAAGAUUCUUUCCACAUGAAGAAGAAGAAGAAGUAGAGAAAUAGUGAUAGAUCUAACCUAAAAACAAAAAUAGCGAUGGUAGCGAUGGUCCACUUCUUGCCUGUUUUUGUUUGGGCUUCCUCCUGCAUUUUGUCCUCUACUUUUCAAAUGGGGAAGACGCCAAUUAUUUAACCUGUUUUUGUUGUCAAUUUCCUUCUUUUUAUUUCUCUUUUUCCAAAUCUACAUGUAUGUAUAUUUUGUCUGCUUUGGAAUUUUUUAUCUACUGAUAAUUUAAUUUUAAUUUUUACCUUAUGCUUUCAUUUUAUUUUACAUUUUAAAAGGGGUUCUUUUAAUUUCAGGCCAUUUACCCUUUCUUGCUGACAGCAACAAUUUAGUUACCAUCGGUUUGUUUGCACAAAUGUUCAUUCCUUUCUAAAUAUCAUUCCACUAGAGUUUCACGUGAAUGGUAGUAAUAAAUAACAAAUAAUAAGAACUUAAUGUGAUAAAAAUAGUUUUGGUAAAGGUUGAAACAAACACAUUAUUUUACGAUUUAUUUUUUAGUUUCUACAACCACAUUGUAGUGACACUCGAUUUUAGGGUCAAUUUAUUAAAGAAAGUAAAAUUAUUUUUUCUCUACGUUGUGGGGUCUAGUUUUUAUUCGUUUUUUAGGUUUUGAAAUUUACAUUUUUAUUUCUUAAAUUUUAAAUUUAGUUUUGUUCUAUAUCUUAAAAUGCUAUUUUACCUUAUAAUUAUAUGAUUGUUCUGUAUUAGUAUUAAAGGGAGAACGAGUGUUAUGCGAAAGACGUACUGAAAUUUAUGGAUAGAAUUCACACAAUAGUGUGAGAUUAUUGCAUUAAUUUGAAUUAUUUUGAGGAUGGAUAUUUUUAUCCUAAAAGAAAAGAAAGGAAAAGAGGCCAAUCAUGAGGGAGGCUUUUACUCUUGGCUUUAUGCACUUUGAAUUUUGCAUAAUUUUCUGUCCACAUUAAUUUUUCCCAUAACAAAGAGAAAUCUUGUCCACUCGAUUCUCUUCUUAUAAAGUAUCCAAUUAGUGUUCUUCCAAAUUUUGUUAAUACCAACAAAUUUGAGCCCUAAAAGCUAUAUCAUUUUAAAUUCCCAAGUUGAGAUUUAUUUAUUUAGAAAUUCUCUCUAUUUAGAGGCCACCUACAGCUUUCAUUUGUAAGGAUCAAGAUUGCUGAGCUGAAAAAUAAGUGCUUUAUCAUAUUAUAGGAUUCUUUUUUUAAAUUAAAAAAAAUACUAACAAAAUCCAAUUAGAAUUCUUUUAACUAUAAUUCAACUUGAUAUGUUCAGAUCUUUUACAUUAACCCAUCUUCAUAAUUUACCCACCAACGUUUAAAUAAUAUAGUUGUAAAUAUAUUUUUAUUUAGCUUUGGCUCACUUUGUUGACGUAUUUUAAAAAUAUUCAUUUUAUUUUUUGUAUUUUAAAAAUUAUUCUCGGUUCUUAGGUAUGGAAAAGAAAAUGAAAAUAAAUGAAACAAUAUAAAGUAUAUGAACAAAAAUGGAUCUACAUAUAUUGUUUUUUAUGAGUUGAAGAAAUGUUAAAAGUAUUUUUCUCUAACUUAUUUGAUUUGAAAGAUUUUGUUUAUAAUAUGAAUAUUUGGGUCAAAAUUAGAACCUUUUAAGAGACUAUGAACAAAAUUGGAAAAUAAUAUAAAUUCUUUUAGAAUCAAAAUGCAGUGGUACUCUUUCAAUUGUUCAGCUAGAGACUAUGACUAUAAAUGUUAUAAUUAGCCAUUAAAAGAGAGUAACCCAGCUAGCCUACAAAGCAAGACAAAACUUAUAUGUUUGUUUUUAUAGGGUAGCCCACACCUUUGACCAAAUAACUCAUUUUUAAUUAAUUGAGUUCACCAUUAAUGCAUCAGUUUUUAUGACAAAUUAAUGGGUUUCAUGGAAUAAUAAUAAUAAUCUUUCCAUUUCAAACAAAUUUGUUUAGAAAUUAUUUUAUUUUUGAUAAUCAAUAAACCCCAACUUGUUUGUGGACACAAAGGAGUUUUGAUGAUACAAUAGUAACCAACAUAAACAUUAUAUUAAAAAAGAACAUCGUUAUUCCACUUCAAAAGUACAAACUAUACUAAUAUUUAUAACAAUAAUAAUCCAUGGUGAUUCACUGAGCUACUUGUUCAAGUACUGGCUUUGGAGUGGACAAACUUAGCUGCAAAUCAGGUUGAUGAUGAUGACGAUGAUGAUGAUGAUUGGUUGUUGUUUGAAAAUUGUUGAUCGUAAUUGAGCUUGAAGAUUUGUUGAUGGGGGAUUGAAGAAACUUGAAAUAUGGCUCAUGAUGACGUUGAUUAUAAUGAUACUCAAUCCAAUUGAGAUUUGUUAAUUCUGAAAUAUUUGGAAUUGGAGUUGGAUUCCCAAAGGAAAUAUUAUUGGAUGAAGCUGGUUGGAUAUUAUAAUUAUUAUUGGUUGGUUUCAAAUUGUUGUUGAUGCUGCUGCUGCUGCUGCUGCCUUUUUCAACCACUUGCACUGUCAAUUUGUCCCUUGCUGCAGCACCCUGUUGUCAUUCAUAAUAAACCAUAAACACACAUUUUUCUUUUGUAGUAUAUAGAGUAGUGAAAGUCAUUUACAAUCCCAAUAUUCAAAACCUAAUCAUCAUUGAAUUUGACACCAACCCUACAAAAAAGAAUCAUUCUAAAACACACAACAAUGAAAGGAUUAAAUUGAAAAAAACAACUCAAUUAGCUUUUCUGUUUAUUAUUUGGUUAUUGGAGAACCUUAGAAUUUCAUUUCUGUAGUUUAUAAUUAUAAUUCAGUUUUUAGGAUUUUAUCAAACCAUAUUUACUUAAAUUCUAAUUAAUAUUGAAUUGUAUUUUACUUUAGUGAGUUUUAGUUUAGUAUUAUAUAUUAUAUAGAUACGAACUGGUAUUUAUAUUAAACAAUUAGUUGUUAAACUUCACCUUCCUUCUCGUAUAUAUUUAUUAUCAUUGAGUAUUAUAUGUGUUUAAUUAAUGACUAGUCAAUAAAAAAGGAAAGUCUUAUACGUAUGCAAAUGGGUUAUUUAAAAGUAAUAGAAUAGUGUGUAUUAUUAUUUAUAUUGGAAGAGGAAUAUAAAACAUUAGUGACGAACUAAUUAAAUUUAAGUAUAUAUUGACAAUAUUGGCUUUUGUCUUUUAUUUAUAUGAAUAUUCACUUACUUAGAAAAUUGGGUUAUCAUUCAAAAUUCAAUCUUUGGCAAUUGGCACAGAGAAAAAACAGAAAUAAAAUAUGUGAAAAAUUAGAGAGUUUUGAGAGGGGGAAGUUUACGUCGAAAAGGCUGGGACGACGCUGUUUUCUUUUGUUGAGAGUUGUGAGUCGUAGAAAGUAUUUUUGUGCAUGACUAGCUACUUGAGUCGGAGUUCUUGUCGUCACAAAUUUCCUCGAAAUUCCUCUCCAAUCUCCUUUUCCAAGCUUUUCUAACCCAAUUAGAAACACCUUAUGCUCCUCUUCACUCCAUGGUACACCUAUUCAAAUACCAAAAACAUCCCGAGCUAGUAAGUUGGUGAAACGAUAAAACUAAUUAUAUAAUCAGCUAGAACGGAGAAAAGAUGAAAUGAUAUUCCUAGCUAGAAUUCAAGCAUGCAAUUUAAUGCUUUAAUACCAUAAUUAACCUAAAAAAAUAAGAAAUAAGAAUAGCCAUAUGACCAAAACGAAAAGGAAAAAGAAUAAUUAAAAGAAGAAAAACCAUGUUUUUGUUUUGAAUCUUUUGAAUUCAUGAUGAAUGAUUCAGUACAGUGCAAGAAAAAUUACCUUUUUUUCUUUCAUGGGUUUUGGCGACGAGGCCGUCUGAGAGAUAUCCAUUUGACAAUUUCUCAGAAGAAGAAGAGGACGAUAAAGAUGAAGAAGCCGAAGAAGAAGAAGAAGGCAAAGAAUCCAAACUAAUACUCUUCUUCAACAAGGUGGUAUGAUGAUGAUGAUGAUGAGUUGUUGUUCCAUUAUCAAUGAGUUGAACUCCAAAUAACUUAAACUUGGUUUCUUUAUGCUUUUGAAUGGUGCAAGUUCUUGAAUUGUGACCCACAUUCCCACAGUGUGAGCAUUUCCUCACCAUCUCUCUCUCUAUCUCUCUCUCUCUCUCUCAAAUGGAAUCUCAAACUAACACCAAAUUCUUUCAAAAGUAUAAUAUAAAGGGUUUAAAAAGGAAGGGGUAGCUGUGUUGUUGUUUUGAUUAAAUUAAAUUAAAUCAAAUCAAAUCAAUAGGGUUUGUGUUAAUUAUUAAUUAGUGAAGAAAGAGAUAUGAUCCUCUCCUCCUCCUAGGUUCUUUCUUUAAUGAUUAUUGACGUAAAUAGCAAGUCAAGAGGUGUGUGUGUUUGUGUCUCAUUGGAUCAUAUUCUUUUUCUUAUAUGAUAAUAAUAAUGAUAUGAUAAAACUUAUCCUAAAAAUGGCAUCUUUUUUAAAACUCCCACAUGACCAACGUGACCUUAUAUUUGUCCCAUUCUUUCUCAUAUCUCUCUAUUUUAUUUUAUUCUUUCUAUCCAUUUUCACCUUUUCUUUCUUUCUUUCUUUCUUUUUACUCUCAUUUCUACUUAUUCUAAGUAAGUUAGAUUACAUAUUUGCACACGAAUAGUUUGAAAAUUUUAAGGGUUUUUCUUUAAUCCUAAUAAUACUUCAUUUGAAUUUUUAAAGAAUUUUUUAUACCUAACAAUAGUUUUUGAAAUAUUUAUAAAAAAUUAACAGUAAUAAUACUAAAACUUUUAGAAAUUUAUCAAAAAAUAUAUAUAGUAAAUUUGACAUUCUAUCCAUGUAAAUAUAAGUAAAUAUUUUAAUUUAUUUUACUACUUUAAAAAAUGCUCGAAAAAUUGUAGUAGAAAAUAUUUACAAAAUUUAAAAUUUUAUCAAUUAUGGAUGUAUAUUAUUUGAAGGUGUCUUUUUUUAUUUUUUAAGUAUGAAACAUAAUUUUUUAAAAAAGCUUAAGAAGAUAUGUUUAAUUUUUUUUCUUUAAAUUACUAUUAUUUGUUAUUGAAAUUGGGGUGACCACAAAAUUCCCACCAUACAUUAUUGUGAUGGGAAAAAGGGAGUGAUGUUGAUACCAACCAACAAAACCCUAUUUUUAGUUGGAGAUUUGCCCAAAAAAAAAAAAAGAAGAAAUUUGAAAUAAUUUCUUGAAGAUUGCUCCAUAUAAAAAAAGAUGGGAUAAAAAAGAGAAUGAUUACAAGCAAGUUGGCAGAACAACUACUGAAAUAUCAACAUUCAACACAUUGUGACCAUACAUUUUUGUGGAAGCUAUUUCCAUUGAUUAUAAACUUCCAAAUCAAACAUUUCCAUACAUUCCCUACACACACACACAAAAAUACCAACUGUUUCUUUUAGAUUUUCAACUUUGUUAACUAUCACGUUAAUGUGAUAUAUAUGUAUUCAAUUUUCUUAACAUAUUAGUUAACUUGUCAAGUUGGCAAAAACCUUAAUUUCAAUAGUAUUUUUGGAAAGCAUUUUAACCUAUAGUUUUUAAGACGAAGGACAAAAAUGAAUUCCAUAUGAGUCUAAAGUUCAUUAAUUCUUUUGUAUAUGAUAAGAAAGGUAAGGCAUUGGCCAUCAAAUCUCACCAUUUAGAAAUCCCAUGUUGUCUCCAACAUGGUGGACCAAAUUUCCAUACCCACAAUAUCAUUAUCCCCUCUCUCUCUAUAUAUAUAUAUAAACUAUAUUAUUACUAUUUCUAUAUACUUUGCAUAAAUAAUAAUAAUAAUGCUUUGUGUUUGUCUAACAUGAGACAACUAAUUAACAACUUAUUAUAAUCUCAUUCUCUUUAAACAUAAAACCCUAAUUCACAUUAACCCAACUUGUCCCUGUACUAUUGUUCUAAUAAUAGCAUUUUUCACAUUGCUAUAUAUUUAAUCAUCCAAAAAGUAUUAUUUAAUUGAUUAUAAUUAAUUAGGUGACAAUUUUGUUAGAAUAUAUAUAAGUGAAUUAGCGAAUUAAAUUUAUGAAGAGAUUAUAUAUAUAUUUUUUUUAACCUUUUCAAAUGGUAAAAAGAAUUACUAACACAAUUUAUUAUUUACUUGAGUAUUAAGCAUCAUAUUUUAGGGAGGUGAAAAUGUUUUCUCUACCCAACAUUUACUAAUUAACUCUUUUGUUUUUACUGACCCUUUUCAAACUUUACACCAAAAAUAUCGUAAAGUAGUUUUAAUUUAAGCAUAUAUAUAUAUAGGGUGUGAAAAUGAUAAUGAUGCAUCUUUUUCUUUUAUAAAGUAGUUUGACUUAAUCACCUCUCCCCAUUUCAAUAUUCUUUUCGAUAAUUAAUCAAUGGACUUUCCCUUACCUGCACUCAUCUCGUUUUAAUAUUAAAAACUAAAAUAUCACAUAUACAAACUGCACCAAUCGAUGAUAAGUACUAAUAUCUGUCCAAGAAAUAUGUUUUUUUCUAAGUAAUUAAGAAACCAUCAUGUAUAACCACACUAAUUAAUUAAUUUACUUAAUCUCCUGUUUCUUUGGCCUAAUUAUUAAAAUCCUAGUUGCAAUCUGAAAAGGUGUAGUAUAAAUUAAUUAUACACAUCACACUUUGAAUGUAACCUUUUCUUGUUCCCUUCAUUUCUCUUUAAUAUUUAAGGCCAAGUUGAGUGGAUAUCUUAUUAAUUUAUCAAAAUUAAACUCUAAUAUAUAUUGGUGAAUUUGACUGCUACUUUGGUUUCUACUUUGAUAUAAAAUUAGCAUAUGACAUAAAAAUAAUUAACUAAGUUGUUUUUUAUUCACUGUCGUCUAGUGAGUGAAGGAAGAUAGUUAAAGUAACACAUAAUGUAAGUUAUUAUAUGUUACAAAAUUAAAGCAUUAUCAUUUAAAAUAAUGGGAAUUAAAUUAUAAAUUUAAUAAAUCUUUCCAAACCAUAUAUUAUACUUUUAAUUGAAUUUUACAUUUAAUUGGAUUUUAAACUUUCAAUUUGACUAACCCAUUUAAAUUUUUAGGACUAAAUUUGUAAAUCUAAUAUGAAAUUAAUAUGAUUCAAGCCUAUUAAUUUAAAACAUUGUUGAGUUUCUAUGUAUGAAAUUAUGGUGAAUCUUCUCGAAGAUAGUGACUAAAUAAAAUUAAUUAUCACAUUUGCUAUAGUGACGACUAAAUAAAUAAAGUAACAAUAUCUUAAUUAAGGAAUAACGACAAAAUUAAACUUAUUACAAAUAAUUAAUAUUUAAAACGAAGCAAUAUAGAGAGAGAAGAAUCAAUUAUGGAAAUAAUAAUUAAUGGAAGUUUAAGAUAAUGUUUUAAAUUAACAAAAAAGUAUAUGGACCAAUUUGGUUCUCCAAAGUUCAAAACCCUCUAUUAAUUAAAUUAUAGACAAUUAAUUAAGAAAAUUCAACUUGAAUCUAUAUAAAAGCUUAAUUAAUUUAGAGAUAAUGACCAAAAGCUUAGGGGUUGUGUGGAGAUCAUUUGCUUUAAAAAACCCUACUUAAUUUUUUUUAAUACAAAAUAAUUAUGAGUGAUGGGACCAACUCAACAUCCAAACCAAAAUUUCUAAGGUAAUUAAUUUACAUUGUGGAUAUUAAUUAAUCAUGCCAUUUUUUAUUUCCAAAAUUAGACUUUAUUAUAAGAAAAGUUAAGUCUAACUUAAUUAAUUGAUUACAAAUUAUGAAAUUGACUAUUACACGAUAGGUUGAAGUGAUCAUAACAUAAUACUAAUGCAUAUCAAAUUAAUCUAAUUAGUGCAUCUAUGAUUCUUAAUUAUAAGAAAACAAUAGUGUUUAUAAUUAAUAAUGGAAAUAAAAUUAGACUAAUUCAUUGAAUAUGGUCUAAAUAAUCAGGUAAUUAAUUAAGGCAAUGAAUAUAAUCAAGGGAUGUUCUCUCUAUCUCCAAUAAUCAUGCAUGAUAUAGGAAAUUAAAGUUGAUUAAUUAAGAUGGUUGAAUAUUCCCUAAUGUUGACAUUCUUCUUUCUUUUUUAUUAAUUUUGCUGUAUUGAUUAAUAGUUAUUUUUUAGUCCUGACAUUAAGCUUAAUUAAUUUUACGUAUAGUUUAAGGAUGAUUAAAUUACAUGUGUGAUGUCACUUGAAAAUGUGUUGAUUAUUUAAAUUAUAAGCAACCAUAUUAUUGCAUAUGAAAUGAAAUUAAACACUAAUUAAUUUGCUCUUGCUCUCAUGAUUAAUAUAAUUAAAUUAGCCUCUUUAGGUUACGUGAUGCAUCUGCCCUCUAACUUAUCUUCAAUUGGUUUAUUAGAGUGAUAUAUAUGUAAGAAAAGGAAAUUAAAUUAAAUUAAGAAGAUAAUUUUUCUUAAUUACAAGCUAUCAAAUUGUUAGCUUAAUUAAUUAUGAAGAUUAAUAAGGCAUACUUUAUUUAAAAGAAAACUAUGAUAUACUAUAAAUAAAAGUGUAUAUGUCAUCAUGUAAAAUGAUAUUCUGAAGUUUGAAGAACACACAGACUAUUAAAUUAGUAUUAUAUUGUGAAGACAUGUAGAGAAUUUGGUUACAAAGUUUUGUAUUAGUCAUACAAAUUUUAAUUAAUAUAGGUCUAAUUCAAUCCUUAUUAUUAAUUAAGAUUUAAGUCAAUAAUCCAACAAAAAAGAUUACAUGAUAUUUUCUUUCUCUUGUUAAUUAAUAUUAUUCACACCUAAGCAAUAAUAACAUAUAUUCACAUUAUUUAUAUUUGAAAAAUAUUAAUUAAUUAUACCAAUUUAAAUCUUAUGUUAUAGAGUGAAUCAAUUUAACCUAUUUAAUUUCUAAUUGAAAGGUCUAAAUUGGAUUAAUAUUUUUAAAUUUCAGUGUUCAAAUCAAUAUUCUUACUAACUGUGAGGGGUAAAUAAAUAAUGUACUUAUUCAAAAUUAAGAGAUAUUUAAUUAUGUUCGUUUUACAAUUUAUCAAACGUUGAUCAGAACAAACUUCAUAUAUAAUCUAAAUUAGAGUGAUAUAUUUCAACCGACACGAAUCUCUCACCUAACUCCAAUAAUAAAAAAUAUAACUUGUGAAGUCAUUAAAUUACAUAAUUAAGAAAAACCAAUAGUUAAGAGGAGAAUAUUCAAGAAUCUAAAGACAACUAUACUAUACCAUAAGACUAAGCAAUUUUGGAAUCAUGUCUACAUCUUUUAUCUAACCAAAUAAAACAAACAAAUAAAGUAAAAGCCAUUGACAAACAAAAUUCCUCUAAUAAGCAAACUUUGGUUAUGAUUGAAAAUUAAACUAAGCCAAACUUUGCACCCUAAGUCAAAAAGGGACCCUCCUAAUUAUCUUAAUCACGACUAUUUAUUUACAUCAAUGAGUUUAAUUAUGAUUUAAUGUGUUUUUUAUUAAAAUUUUAUCUCAAUUAAUUUAAAAUUAUUUUUAAAUAUAGUAAAAUAAAUUAAAAUAUUUAUAAAAAUAUCAUAUUUGAUAGGACAUAAUAUAACUAUUUAUUAUUUCUAUUGUCGUAUAAAUUCAAAUGGAAAUAAACUAUGAUUUUAAUUAUUUUUUCCAUCAAUACCUGUUUUUUUUAAGAUGAACAAUAGAACAUUAAUCAUUUAAAUAAUUCUUAUGAAAGAUUAAAAUAUUGGUUUGAAAAAUAAGUCAAUAAUUAUUUUAGCAUUAUUCCCAAUAAGAAAUGCUAUUAAUCUAAUAACCAUUUGAAAUUCUAAGGUUGUGGUUGUGAAGUUUCCUUCUGUACUAAUAUAUAUGAAAUGAAUGCAUAUGUAUAUAUUUAACUUUUAUAUUUUGAAGGAAUCAUAGGUUAUAUGUAUAUAUUUAUAUUUGAAUAAACAUGUCAUUAAAAUACACAAAUUAACAUUUAGAGGUCCAAUUAUGAUUUAAUUUGAUCAUUCCUUUUGUAAUUUUUUAACUUAAUAGAAAAAUGGACAAAUGCCAAACUGAGUAUAUAGAUUACUAUUUAAGCACAUGGUCUCUUUAUUGUCUAUUUGUAUUUUGUCCAAUUAAUUGUUAGUUCUUACACAUCUCCUAGCAAUAAUUUUGAUGUCACAUAUAUCAUAUUAAAGUAUAUUAUAAUAAAGUGUAUCAAAUUAAAUUUAGUUUAUAGUUUUUUUUUUUCUUUGUUAUAGUUCAAAUUUGAUCCCUAUAAUUUUCAAAGUUUCAAUUUAGCCCUUGUUAAUGAUUGAAACUCUCUCCUUUACUUGAUGUCAUCUUCUAAUAUACAUAUAACCAACAUAUUAACAUAUCUUAGAUGUAUUUAAGAUGCAGUAAUGUCUUGUAAUAUAACAAUAGAGAUAAUUAGUAAAAUGCAACCCAACUGUGGUGAUGAAAAUGACCAUUAGAAAACCAGUACACUAAAUUGAAACUAUAACUAAAUUAAUUAGAUGUAUGGAGUGAUAAACAUUCAUAAUUUCAUACCUCCCCACAAUCAUAUCAAUGUAGUUAUUAUAACGUAUAUCAAAGUUGUUAAGUUCGUCGAAACUGCUACUCUCUUUAAUAGCAGCAGGUCAAGACUUCUUUCUGAUAUUUGAGAUUUUGAUCAUCACAACACAUUCUAUUAGAUUAUAUUUCUCUUUUUUGUCCACAAAAUUGUAAUUUAAUUGCUCACAUUUUGGAAUGUAAUGCACCAUAAACUGACGUCCUUUUCGUAUAGCUUAAAGAUCAUUCUCCACAUGUUAAUGUUGCUCUGUCAAAAUGAUAUUCAUCUCUUUGCUUUUCUUAUAUAUUGAACGAAAAUGGACAUUCAAACUCUCACGUUUUGGGCCGGGAUGUUAGGCCCCGGGCCGGUUUCGGGAGUUAUAAAUGGGCCGCCUUUAACUAGUUGGGCUUGGGCCGUAACAUGAAAAAGCAGUAUUGGGCAAAUCCUGUAAUUCAUACAGAAAGCAGGGGUGAAUUUGCAAACUUGGUCAAAAUUUAUUGAUAUCAAUAAUUAAUAUUUACAUAUCAUAGCUUAAAUGAUUUUACUUUAUGGCAUGUAAAGUCUAUCCACUACCAAAAAGAAAUUGCCUUUUUUAACUAUAUUUUCUAUUGUUCUUUAUGUUUAAAUUUUAUAUUUUACUUUUUUUGUCAACUUGAUCUUUUAAAAUAUUACAUUAUGUCAAAUGUAUUAGAAAUUUGUUGAUAAUUUAAAAACAAAUUGAAAGACCAAUGACCAAUUUUUAGGACACAAACAAACUAAAUAUAGUUAUUAAUAGCACCAAAUAAAGGUAUUGAGAUUUUAUGAUAUGAAGUUUAUUAAUAAAAAUUUACUCUCUAAUACAAUUUAUUUAUUUUGUGUCUAAUAGAUUCUAGAAAUUUAAAAAACACUCUCUUAAACUAAAAAUCAUAGCAAAACGAAAAAAGAAAUUGAGAAUAAUGUUUUUAUUUGUUGAGUUCUUUCAAAGAAAAGAAAAAAGAAAUUGAGAAUAAGAUUUAAUAUUUAGAAUAUUAUAAAAGUUGGGACAAAACGAAGACAAGAGUCAUUUAAAACAUACCAUAGUACUAUGCACUAAAAAAUGCUAAUUAUUAGUGACAAAGAAGACCUUUCACAUCUAUGCUUUCACUUUAUUGCUAAAGGGACCUUAUAAAAGCUUCUUUAAAAAAAAAUAUUAAAGGGUAUAUUUUUACAUUCGUACAACUUAUCCUUUGAAGAUAUAAUAAGACUAAAAAUAAUUUUAUUUAGUAGGUUAAAAUUUGUUAUCGAAAGUUUAAGAGUAUAGUUGUAACUUUUACUAUACUUUGAAAAUAGUUUUAAUUUUUGUAGUUAUUGAGUUUUUACAAUAUCAUUCAUGAUGUCAUAGCAAUAUUUAAAAUAUAGAAUUCAAAGUGUGACAUACUAUUUUUUAAAUUCUAACUUGCUAGUGAACUUAGAAUAGAACGGAUAAAACAAAUUAAUGUACUAAUGGUUAGUUUUCAAACGUGUUUGGUUUGGUCGGUAACGUGUAUGUUAGGAAGAUUUGAAACAUAUACUAUUUAGUAGAUACUAGUAUCACAUGUCAAUUGAGUUAUAAGCUGAAGGUAGAUACUAGGAUGUUAUUUUUUACCCUAAGAAAUUUAUUAUAUAGUUCAAAAGCAGGAUCAUAUUUUGACUGAGGAAUAAUUUUGGAGAUAAUGAAAAGCCCAAGAAGAAACCCCAUGUUGGUUGGUUUGAACUUUUGAUUGGUCUCUGUGUCUUUUCAAAACUGAGCACACUGCUCUGAGUCAUGGAGAGGUCCGGACAUUGGCGACCCACCAUGGAACCUCUCUCUGAAUCCCAAUGUGAACCUCUCUUUUAUCUUUCUCACCUUCUCCAUUUUCUUUCAAUUUUCUCCCUUUAAUAAUGGGGGUCGAAAGAGAUUGUGAAAAAAGGCACACAACCCCAAAACCCCUUGAAACCCCUCUUUUUGUUUGUCAAAAUUGUUUGCUUCUUCAAAUUGAAAUUCCAGUUUCUGGGUUCUGAAAUACACAAAAAGCAAAACCCAAGUUGAGAAGAAAAAGGUAGUAAUCAGUAUUCUCUUUUAGUAGUAGUACAGUAUGUGAAACCAAAAAAUGGGUCAGGAAAAAGAGCUAAGCUAAGAGACAUUGAAUUUGAAAUAUUUUGUCUUGCAGUGUGGAUUGCCAGCAUUUCUCUGUUUGGGUUUGCAGGCAAACCAAGCAAGGAACAGACCCCACAACCUCAGUUUUUCACACUCAACCAUGUGGUAAUGGUAAGAAAAAACAUAUAUUUACUAUCAAUUUUAGUUUCCUGAGUUUUUUUCUUUUCUUAUUUUUGUCAUUGUGCUGUCAAAGAAUUUGUUCUUGGAAAAUCAAUCUCGAGGUUUGAGUUUCUUUAUUAUCCAACGUGGAAGCUGAAUGAUAAUUACACUUGAUUUUAAUAAAUGUACUGUCUUUUCUGUGAAAAAUAUUUUUUCUCUUUAAACUUUCAAGAACCGUACACUCUUUGAAGCAUAUUUUGUCUAUUAAACUCUUCAUUAAGAAAGAACCUUCUCUUUCCGUUCUUACUUGAGUAAUUAUUAAAGCCCACUUUAUGAGAGAAAGAGGUCUUGGUUGGAACUUCUUGAACCUGAAACGUUAGUUGACCUUGACAGGACAGAAAUUGGAUUAGUACUUUCAGAGAGACAAUUGAGAUGGUUAGAAAUUAAACCCCUUUAAUGGUUUCACUUACCAAGCCUGCAGUGCAGAGAAAAAGGCAAAAGCCAGAAGCAUUCUCUCUAGUAACAGCUACAUGGAAGUGUUGCACCAACAUUGAGGUUGUAGGUCCACAUUAUUUCCUCUAGUUAUUUCUGGUCAUUAUCCAGAUCCCAUUAUCGCUACUUGGUCAGAGCUCUAAAGAAAAAUCAGAGAAAAGAUUUAGAAAAUGGAGGGAAAAGUUUGGGUUGUAUCACAUCAGAUCCAACGGCAGAGCUCUAGAUUUAAGAUAGAAUGGUAAUGGAAAAUGGAAUCCUGAUCCGAGAAAUGAAGGCUAUCUAUUUGCAUUGUUUCAUCAUUCUGGUGUUACUCAAUGAAUAACCAUAAUGGUCCGAAUACGAAUAUUAAGGAAGGUUAGUCUAAUAAUUGAAGAAAUGCAUACACCCAAAACUAGCUGAUGGGUGCUGUUUUCAUUGCGAGACAUUAAAUUUGUCAAAGAUAUCCCACAAGAUCUUCUCGUCAGUUUUGGUUUGCUUGCAUCAUCAUUUUCAGGCUCUUUUCUCUCGCCUUUCUCUGAGACUAUAUCUGUUCAAAAGUACACUGCUGAAACAGUAGUCUCUCUUUUUUCACAUUUGAUUGCCUUAAGUUCUUAGUUGUUUGAUUCUGAAGAGAAAGUGUGAUACUUUGUUACUGUAUUACUCUUGCUUCUCAUCACUUUGGCUUUCUUGUUCAGAAUAGCUUAAAAAGAAAGGGACUGUCUGAAAAAUGGUGCUGAGAAGACCUGGCAGGAACAGGAAUUUCAACAGAGAGAAUCCAGAUAUUUUGAUUAUGAUGAUUGCAGUGGAUCAGAUAAUAAGAGGUUGUGAGCAGGACAAAGGAGAUGGCACAGAGAGGAAGGGGAUGGGCCCUUUAAAGCCUGCAACAAAGAGUGAGUGGUUUCUGCAUCCCAAGAGCUAUGGUCUCUCCUCUUUCUUGCUCUCCACCCCCUGGUUUUCUCUUGUGCGGCUGAUACUUCCUUCUAUCUUUAUUUAGUGGGUCCAUUUCCUCCAUCUCCACCUUCAUGCAGAGUCCUCUUUUUUGCCUCUUCACUCUCUCUCUCUUCCUUUUAAUGGUUCUCUGAGAUGGGUGUCAUUCAUUUUCCAGAGCUGUACGUAUUUUAGCUUUAAAGUUUGAGAACAGAGAUUGAGAUUAUACAUCUCCCUGCCGUUCAAUCCUCCAAACUUAAGCUUCUCGGGGUUUGAGCGCUUGAAGCUAUUCCAUUCUCCUUUUUUCAUGCAAAAUUUUGUAUCACUUUUCUUUUACCAUCGGCUUUAUGUUGUUGUGAUUUGGCAGAAGCCGGAAAAGUGGGAAUACAGCACCAGUCAUUAUUACUUCUUUUCCCCUUGUUUUUUUCUAUAAAAGCAAAGCUUCUCUUCCACUUUAUCUGAACUUUCACAAUGGCACCCUUUUCUGGAGAAACAAAAGAAACCAAGUUCUUUGAAUCUUCUCCUUUUUCUUUUUUAAGUUGUCUUUGAUCACCUGUGAGUGAAGAACCAUAAAGCAGUGAACAUUAUAGCAAUUUUUUUUCGUUUUAUAACUUGCAGGUUUAAAGCUCUUCACUAAGCCAUCACAUCCAUUUAAUUUGCUUAGAAAUUCAGGACACGGUCAUUUUUUUUUCAGGGGAUUUGGUGUGGGGCUUUCGCUCUAAGUUUCUCAUCCUAUAUAGGAUGACAGAGAUUCAUCAAAUGGAAGGUUGGUUUCUUUGUCAUUUUAUGCUAAUGGCUCAAUGUUUAUGUUCUGGCUGGUGGUUUACAGAGUGAGUUUUGAUGUGGACCUUUAUUUCUUCUGUCUUGUAUGAUGUUAUGUUUGUUCCCUCCUUUGUAUCGUGUGUCAAAAUAAAUUGAACAUCUUCAACGAAUGGCUUGUCAAUAUUAAUUUUUUGCUGGUCCCUAAACGUAACAUGCUUUUCACUCUUGUGGCAAUAGGUUCUGGAUAUGUUACAACUACUAAUUUCCCUUUCCAACUCUGAAUAAUAAUAAUAUAGCAUAGCCUGUCUCUAGAGGAAUGUGAAUUUGGAUGUCUGGAUUGAGCUGCAAGUUCAUUUCUUUUUCCAUUCAACUGAGAAGUUCAUUUUUUGUUUGAUAAUGCUAUAUUGACUUAUAAAUGCUAUUGAAAUCGCAGCUAAAAAGUGAAUGUGGUUUGAAUCGAGUAUGUUAAUCUCAGCUGUUGCUUUGGAUAAAGAAUGGUAGUUUUCCGUCUAGACUGCGUAUGGGUGGGCGAAUGAUUUGAUGAAUGCUCUGGUGGAUAUGGUAAACCCAAAUUCUGUUGUUGUAUGUGAAAUUCUGCCUCUUGGCUUUUAGAACUCAGUUGAUACGUCCAAUUAAUGAACUAAGCAAUAUUACAGCUGGAUUUCCUAUCUUUUUAAGUCUGCGGGAGUCUGGAUGCUCUGCUCUUACUAGUGCUGAUAAUCAUAUAGUUGAACAAUUGACAUUUUGAGGUUUUCCAAUGUCUACUGCCCUGCAACGAAUCGAUAUGGGAGAUGCUUGUCUGGGUCCCUCUGGUAAUGCUGAGUUUCAAAAUCAAUUGGCAGUAGCCAUUCCUAUUUCUCUGUUUCAAUCUACCUCUCUUGCUCCAGUGAAUGAUAUUCGUGGAAAUACAAAAGAUUCAGCAUUUCCAGACCCACAGUUCCAGCAAUUAGAAACCUUUAGAACGUGCUUCUUACACAGUUACUCUAAUGCUUCAAAUUCUUCAUUUGCAAGUUCUCUGAUCUGUGAAGGUGAUGAGUCUCUAUGUAAUGCAAAUAAUAAGUGGGAAAGCGAUAGGUUUCAUUGUAUUCAGCAACUUUCUGGGGAGAAUCCGGAAACAUCUGAUUCCCAGACCGUCUUGUCCAUGGAACACCUGCACCAGAAUGGCUGGAUGUCAUCUAACACUAUGAACUCUAAGUUAUGGAAUGAGCUUUCUCUAAGCCUUGCUACAACCGAACCCGUCCUCAGUGGAGGAACUGAUUUCCUGGACCAGUAUUCUCAGUUGACUUUUUCUGGUGCUACUCAACCUUGCUUGAACAGCACAGAAUUAGCCUCGAACUUAAAUUCAGGCAGCUCUAGGGACCUCUCUCUAAGUUAUGGAUGUGGUAAUUCUGUUCGCCUUUCUCGAGCAAUAGCAGGAUCUAGAUAUCUUUCGGUCAUUCAAGAUGUACUUUCUCAAAUUGCAAGCUAUCCACUGGAAAACUCAGAUCAAGUUGAUCAUUCAACUACUGCAACUGGGUUUGUGCCGUUGUCAUCAUCAAGUUCCCUGGAUGAUGCAACGAUUGAAUAUGGUUCUGAUGUUACUGGUAGAUACAGUUCUCAAAUGGAGCCGGAAUGGCAAAAUCUAUCUGUUGAUGCCAAGAAGUCCCAUCUGUUGACUCUACUACAAUUGGUUGGUUAAUUUAAUAUAGCGUUUCUCUGAUUUUUAUCUUUUUACCCUUCUUAUACUGAAAAACUUGAUAGUGUUUCAGAUUGAUGAGAGGUACACUCAAUGCUUGGAUGAGAUUCAUACCGUUACUUCUGCGUUUCAUGCUGCUACUGAUUUGGACCCUCGCUUGCAUACUCGAUAUACACUCCAGACGAUCACUUCGGUGUAUAAAAACUUGAGGGAGAAGAUUACCAGUUGUAUUUUUGCUAUUGGGAAGCAUUCUAACGCAACGUGCACCAAGGAGAAGGAAAAAUUCUUUGAGGCAACAUUCUUACAGAAGCAGUGGGCUCUCCAGCAGUUGAAAAGGAAAGAUAAUCAAUUAUGGAGGCCACAGAGAGGCUUGCCUGAAAAAUCUGUCUCCGUUCUUAGGGCAUGGAUGUUUCAAAAUUUUCUCCAUCCGUAAGAUUUUGUGACAAAUCUGGUUUACUUUUUGAAGAUACGUAUAGUAAGUUGAAGGAAUGUUUGUUCUUUGGUGAUUUUUCAGGUACCCCAAGGACACAGAGAAGCAUUUACUUGCAGUAAAAAGUGGAUUAACUAGAAAUCAGGUUCUUGCUGCUUCAAGAUUUCCUUCAACUUUCAUGAGUUCUCCUCACUUUUACUGAGUUCUGCUAUUCUGGACUUUGGACAGGUGUCUAAUUGGUUCAUCAAUGCUCGUGUCCGAUUGUGGAAACCGAUGAUCGAGGAAAUGUAUGCUGAAAUGAGCAGAAGAAAAUCCAAUCAAAAUGAGGAGGGAAUCGAAAGAAUUCAUUGUCCCAGAUAAGCAUUAGCAGUGAGAAGAUGUGGCUCGAACUGUGAAAAUGAUAGACAGUAUUGAGCACUGUAUGGAACUUGAAUUGAUUAGAAAAGUGUACUAGACUGAAUUAAAUUCAACUAUAUAUUCUUUUUGACAAUUUAACCUGAGAAAUUUCUUUAGCUUCGCAUUCCUGGCUACAUCAUAAUAGACAAUAAAAUGCAAUUAGUCAGCAGAGAAACAUCACCACAAACUUCAUUCUGAAAAGAAGGAAAAAGAAAACACGAUCAAUAAGCGAAGUUCAAUCUAAAAACAUUAUUUAUUAAUUGAAAAUAAAUAAUUCUGAGAUUUACAGAGAAUGGUGCCCUCCUCCUCAACUAACUCUUUUGAUUACAAAUGAAAGAAUGACAAUUUCUGAUUUCUGCCUAGAAGUUUUCACUAUCAAAUAUUCUGUUUCCUUCUUUAUCUACACCCCACACCCACACCUCUCAUUCACGAACUGAUGGAUUGCCAAAGAAAAAACAAAAAAAACUGUCCCAACUCCUCACAGUACAUAUAAAUACAAAAAGUGAUUAAUAUUUUUUGUUGCGCCUCCUUUCAUCGUCUUGUUGUUCUAGACUUGCAAGGAGAUUCUUGUUUUUAUCGGUUUCAACUUCAAUCCCAUACUUUCUGGUGACAGAAGCUCGGGAGCUAUGCAAGAAGGGCUCAAGGGGCUUCUUGGGCUGACGCUAAAAUGAGAUGGCCUAUACAUGCCAUAUCCCAUGAGAAAAUACUCCAUAGGUAUCAACAUUGCAUCAGGCUGCUCCUCUGUCACCAUUGACCCACAUGACUGAACCUAAGAUGUGAGAAUAGCCCCUUUUAAUUCAUAGUAGUAUAAAGCUCGGUUUAUGAUUUUCAUGUAUAUUUAAUCUCCAAAAAGGAAAAAAGAAAGUUCAACAUACUUCCACUAGGGCACUGUAUCUUCUGUCUAGUUUGACAGUCAUGUGGUGAGCCUCUGAAUGGAACGGGGACCUGUCCCCAACAAAUAUCAAUGAACGGCACUUUAGUUUCCGUAACCCUUCUGAAAUGUCGGGUCUCCUGCAUGAAAGAAAAAAAAAGUUUAGGAGGGCCUUCGACCCCAUAUGUGUAUCAUCUAACUAAUGUAAUUUCACAUCAGAGGUAUAGAGGAAAAGGACCCCAACAAUUGUCAAGCACAAAUUCAAAGAUUGGAGUUAGAUGCUUACCCAUUCAUUGCUUCAAGAAACCUCCAGACGUUUGAACUUUGCCUCUCGUCAAGUGACUGUAGAAAGAACAUGAUCAUAAUGUUUGAUCAAACAAAUGCUCAACUCUUAAAAUCUGUCAAGUUUUCCAACUCUGGAAUAACUGACAGUUUAAAGUUGCUAAAAGAAAACGAUGAAAAUGCUGCAGUACUCACUCUUCUGCAUGCUUGAACUAAAUCUGACUCUGGUACUUGAGAACAACCACGAGCAUCCUACAACCAGCACAGUACAAAUGUCUAAUCAAACUCAGUUGGGAUGAAUAACUCUAGUAAGAGAGUUUGAGUUUGUGCAAGUAAACCUGCAGUUGGUCUGUGUUUAAGUUGAGAAGAAAAAAGAGUUUAAAAGUUCACACGUUCAAGUGCAAUUUUCAUAUCAUCAAAUUGGUUUUGAAGGAAUAAAAACCGAUUUCAUGGUGAUUUUGAAAACAAAGCAAUUUUCAUUUUUAGACCUACCUUACUGAAAUACCGCUUCAGCAACAACUCCUUCACUACCCCACACAUGCCAUAGAAAUAAAGCAAAUUUGACAUCACCUGCAUAUGGAAAAUCUGUUAAUAAGAUGAUUCCAAUAAACCAGAAGACGAUCAUAAUAGUUCUUUCGUUCAGAAAGACGACCUUAUUAUACAACCAUUCUGUCCAACAGGGCGCUGUGCAUAUGGGAGAAAUCAAUAUCAAACCAUGAACACGAUGUCUGUGCUUCAUCUGCAACCAACAAGUGCAAUCAAUAUAUGACAAAAGUUUACAAGAGGAACUGAAAGAAAAAACCAUGGGGGGGAAGGAUAAAGUAAUCAAGUGGAUGGUGAACAAAGAGAAAAAUUACAGCAAAGAGAGUGAGGAUGUAUGCUCCAGCAGUAACACCCAUACACAUCACAGCACUAAGUCUGGGAGAAAGAUAAAGAAGAAGAGUAAGUCAUCAGAUCCGUGCAUAUUCAUUUCGGAUAGAGCUCAAGUGUAAAACAAAUAAAACAGCAAAGCAUCAGACCAGUGGAAUUCAAAACUUUAAACAAGUCGAAGUUAUUAAAAAAAAAUUGAAGAUAGCCAAAAGGAAUAUCGAAUUACCCAAAAUAGUUAAGAACUUCAGCAAUUUGAUCUGCUAAGUCAUCUGCAGAAAGUACAGGAUCAUCAGGGCAAAUUGCAGCAGCUCCUAACUGCAACUCUUGAACAAGGUCCCAUUAUGAGAAGAAUUCAUGUGGAAGUAAAAAAGACAACGUACUUGUUGGAAAGUUCAGUUUCAUUGAAGCAACACCAAAAAAAAAUUACACAGUAGAUUAUUUUGUACAUAGCAUAGAUUAAAAGAAAUUCACUCGUACAAAGUAAUUUAUUUUAUGUAUGUGUGUGGAAAAAAAAAUAAUGACAUCAGUAGAGAUAUUAGAACAUCCCAAUUAUACAAACCUCGUGUCCGGGAGGGCUGAUAUGAUAUAUGCAAAAGUUGUGAAGCAAUAACGAACAAGCUUCUGGACAAAACAUUAAUCCUUGGAAGCAGAACAUAUCUGAUAAAUAAUAAAACAUAGCACGUUUAAACAUUGGUAACAGGAAAAAUUAAAGAAAGAUUCUAAAAAUCAAAGUCACAAGUCAUAGAAUCAUUUCAUUUUAACCCCAUAUCACAAUUUAUUAACCUUACUAUCCUCUUUAAAUAACUUAUUUUUGUCUAUUUUCAAAGAAUAAGCUUGUCUAAUAAAAAUAAUGGAUUUCAAAAGCUACUAUUAAAAGAUUUAACAAUUAUGUGGGUGAAAACAAACCAAAAAGGCAGAUGUUCCAGCAAAAGGACUGUAGAUAAUAGAGGUAAGAAUAACCAAUAUUCUGGAUUCCAAAAAAUUCAACACGUUAAAUUUAAAACAAAAACUCCAUCUAAUCAACCUUAAACUCCAAAGUGUGUCUAAUUUAUUCAAAGACUCCACUUCUACACUCAAAAUCAUGUUUUGAAUAACAAUUUACAUGACACAUUCUACAUACUCACGAUUUAGAGCUAAAUCGGGAUAAGUGAUUAAAGCUGGCUUGUCCAGGUCUCCAACCACGGUGACAGAAACAACACCAUAACAGGUUUUCACAAGAUACUCCUGCCAAAAAAAAAUCGAUUGAAGAAAUAUUAGUUUUCAAACGUAGUCAUCUGAACUAGAGAAUGGACGCACCAAAAAAAGGCGGCAAGUAAUACAGAACCAUAAAAUGAACUACUAUAAAAAGGGAAUUGCAAAAGCUUAAAUAUAAGGAAAUUCGCAGUUGAAGACGCAAACAAUAAAACAGAUUAAAGAAAGUUAGUCUACUAAAAUUCAAAAUGUAUUUCUAAACUAGUAAAAAUCCCAACAUCCAUCCACUUUUGGUAGACCGUUGAAUUCCGAACGAAAAUCAACACCAAUUACCCUUAGAAAAUCUAACUAAAAUCAACAAUGCACAUCCAAAAACCUUAAUUACCUCCGUGUAAAACGAUCACUAAUUACACGAAUUCAUCCAAUAAAAAACAUAACGAACCCCAUGUUUCAAUUCAAUCCAAACUUCCCAGCAUGUUCUCAAAAAGCAAACAAAGCACAGUGUUCAAACACAUGAAACCAGACGGAUUUACACAAGCAACAGGAAAUGCAGGUACCUUUCCUCCACAAGAGAUCGACUCCAUAUCCACCGAAACCGAGUCGCUCGAAUCCCCCAUUUCCUUCUUCCCUUAUUCUCUCACCUUUCUCUCUUCCCCUAAAUCCUCCUUCCCUUAUUCGCUACUCAAUACACAGAAUGCUCCUUCUUCCUUUUAUAUACCACCAAAUCUCUUCAACAAUUCCACCACUACAUUAUUUGGGGGAAAAAUUUCAACUCGUCCCUUCGAAUCGUCCGAGUCAAUACGAGUCACCGACGCCGCGUUCCCCUUCCAUCGCACAUUGACAGAAACCUCACGAGCGCCCUGUAACGAACAAACUAUAACCCGAUACCCUGGUUGGUUUAACCAUGGUUAGGAAGCCGACAGUUUAUUUGAAAUUACUUAAAUACCCACAAUUUCCCUUGACAGCGACCUCCUCUCUUACCACAUGAAAAAGGGCGAUUUUCGUCUAUUCACGUUGAUUUUUUAAUUAGUAAUAAAGAGGGAAAUAGUAAGUAGUUAAGCUUUGACUAAGGAAGAGAUAAAAUGAAAAUAAAAUUAAUAUAAGGGAAGUGUUAUUUUUAUUUGUGGGACCUGCGUUUAUUUAAAGUAACGUAAUCAUUUAUAUUAUAAAGUAUAUAAUCUGUCACAAAUUUUGGGGAGAGGUUUUUCCUUAUUUUUCUUUUUUCAAUUAUUCCAUUUAUAAUAUGGUAUUGUAUUUUUGUUAUUUAUUGCAUUGCCUAAAAGUGGGGAGUGGAUUUAAUGAAAAUAAUUUUAGAGGAUCUACUUGUUUUUAAAUUAGUUUCUGUUUUUGUUAAUUUUGUUUAAUUACUUUUUUUUGUGCAUAAAUACAGUUGAGUUUUUAAUAGUAUUGUUGCACCAUUAAAGUUAAAACCUUUUCUUCUUCUUUUUCUUUUUAAUAAGGUUAGUUGUCAUAUACCAUAUUUUCUUGCCCUAAUAGAUUUCAUCCGUUUAUUGAAUAAUAAAUUAUUGCCUUUUUAAUUAAACUUUCUAUAAUACUCUAAAAAAAUAUCAUUUCGGGAUGAUUUUGUUUGGUAUAGGUGUGAAAAUGAUAGAUUGAAUCUCCAACUUAGUGAAGUAUAUGUGAAACAAAGUUCAACUGACAUUAGAUGUGUAUUGUCACAUUCUAUGUUAAAGGAUACCGAAUUCAUGAAUCUUCAAAACAAAAAACAUUAAACAAUAACAUGCAUCCAAACUAUUGUAAUAUUUUCGUGUGAAUGGUGUUGCUUGAGCGAACAUUUUUUAUAAAUAACAAUGAUGAAAUGUUACAAUUCUAAAAAAAAAUAACUAAAUUUUUUUUCAAUUUUUAUUACCCUUUAUUUUAUUAAAGAAAUACCAUUGAAACCCUUCUUAGAGAUUUUACUUACAGUGUCAAUUAUUUACGUAUAUACUUAUAGAACAAAAUCAUUAAAAUAUAUAAUUUGUUAGGUGUAAAUACAUCCUUAAAUGUUAUAUUUUUUUACGAAUUUUUCCUUAAAUUUGUAUAGAUUUAAAAAUAUUUGAUGUUAUAAGUUAAUAAAAGAAAAUGGUUGAAAAAUGGAAGAAUGUCCACGUGUAAAACAUAAGUAAAGAUCUCGACCGUGUAAUGUUUUAAGGAAUGCAAUCGAAAUAUUUUAUCUUUCAAAUAAAAUAAUACAAAAAGUAAAAAAGAUAUAUAUAUAAUAUAUAUAUAUAUAUAUAUAUUAAUAAUAACAUUAACAUAAUAUGUUUAAGAGAAGUGGAAGCAUAUAAUAUGUUAUCAUUCUUAUCCUCUUUUCUCUUUAUGCUUUACUCUGUUUUGGAAUUUUGGUCCACUAAAGAUAAGUGAAUGCUUCUUUCUUUCUUUUUCUUUUGAAAUAUUGAGAGAAAGAAAUGGUUGAUCAAAAUAUUAUAAUAAAUAAGUAAAAUACAACAUUUUGUUUUAUAUAUGCACGUUAUAUAUUUCACUAGGUUUGGAAAAUGAUGCGAUAUAUGUAACUCUAGAAUAUCAAACGUGGAGGAAUUUUAUUUGCUUAUUUGAUAAAGUUCUUUUAAGUUGAAAAGUUCACGUUAGUUUGUAAUUAAAACUUAAAACAUCGUAGUAAAGAUGAGAAUUAUCUUAACACAUGCAAUGUAGUGCAUCGUUUCUCAUCCAAACUUCAUUGUAUUGUUUGUUCUUCGUACUUCAUAUUGCAAGUGUAUUUUUAAGGUUUUUUUUUUCGUAAAUUGAUAAUACAAUUGCAUCAUACAAUUAAGCUAAGUUUGUUUGUUCUUUUAAGCAAAUUAAAAAUUAACAUGGUGUGUCUCGUACUGUUUUAAUUUUAGUUAUACUUGUUAAUUGAACAUUAUUAGACAAUUUAAUUCAAUAGUUGAUUUGUUAUAGGAUACCUUAUUUAAAUUAUAUAUUUAUUAUUUUGUUGAACGAUGAAUCGAAGACUAAUAUAAUACAUAUGUGAUUAUGUAUUUUUUUUCAAAAUGUGAAUAUAUUGCUAUAUUUAUUUGUUAUAAUAAAUCUAUUUACAUUCGAAUAAAAAUAACUAGUGAAUUUUGUAUCUUUUCAUUUAAUUUGUCUUCUAUAUCUCACAACAAUUGUCAUGCAUGGCAUGAGUUGGUCCCACGAAAUUAAAACAGUGAAUUGAUUGAGCAAAAUAACUAAGUUGGAUUUUGAUGGUUAUUAAGCAACGAUAAAUCACACAAUAAAUUAGAUAUUCGACGUGCUCUUAAGAGCAAUAUAGAAAGUAGAUAGUUAUUACAAGAAUAAACGAUGAAAUCACGUCAACAAAGUAAAAAGAAAAAGAAAAAACAACACAAUAAUGUUGAAAUUUUUGUUUAAUCAUAUUUUAUACUUUAUCAUGUCAAAAAUUAAUUAUGUACUCUCCAUCAACAAUCUUAAAACAAAGUCUUUAGUUUUGUAUAAAAAAAAAUUGAUUAAUAAAAACAAUUAAAUAUGGUAUAAAGUAAUUUAUAUAAUAAACCUUUACACAAUUUAAAAUUAAUAAUAAUGCAGUAAAUCGUGAUGUUAUUAGUAAAGGAAUGGACAAAAAAUCGCACGCAUGUGUCACGUGAUUAAUUAUUAAAUAGUAAAAUUAAACAUACCAAAUCACAUAAUGAUUUUAAGGUUGGAAAAUGAAUAUAUUUAACCAUAAAGUGUAGUUAGGUGAUGUUAUUAUUUUGGAAUUUAAAUGGGACAUGUAGUGCCUUUCCUUAAACUAGAAACCAUGACCAAAAAAAUUACUGAGGACGCAAAAAACUAUGCUAUAAAAUAAAAAGCAACGUCUGAAUUGAAGUUCUAAUGUCCUUCCCCCAUCAACAACAACCAUUAAUAGCUCCACCCCAACUCAACACCAAAAUCCUUUUCCAAGUUUAAUCCUUAGAUCUACUCAUCCAUUCUUUGUUAUACUAAACCUUUUUCACUGUUACAUCAAUUUUUUCAAAAGGUUCUAGAGUCAUCAUAUGACGUUGAAUUUUAUUUUUUUUCCGCUAUCUUCUUUAUCAAGUUUGAAAGGUGGUUCGAUUUUUCAUUUGGUUUAUAUAUCUAGAUAUCAAAUUGAACCAAGGAGAUUUGUUGUAUAUAAAAGAAACCACGUCGAUGUACAUAACAAAAUAAAAAAUCAACUUUUAUUCGAUUCAAUCGACUUUUUUCUUUUGAAAAAUUAAAAAAAUAGCAAAUUUUACAAAAUAUUUACAACUUAUAGUAAAUUUUGUAAAUUCUAGUGAUAGUCACCAACCAAUAGAAUCCAAAUUUUUGUUAUAACUUAUAAAAUAUUUUAGUUUAUUUUGUUAUUUUUAAAAAUUGUAUUCUUUUUAUUUAUCAAAAAGGAAAUAUAUGACUUUUUAGACUAUAUAUAUAAUAAUAACAAAAAAAGAGGGAGAAAUAAGAGAAAUAUGUAAUAAACUAUUUUUGUCUUCUUCCCAUUUAGCUUGCUAGUGCAUGUAACCUAUAUUCUAAGAAAUAAAGGGAAAAUAAUUAUAUUGGGGACUUUUGAAUGGAGAUAGCUAUCUGUUUACAUUAAUUUCAACAUUUACAAGUAAAGCCAUAAACAAUUAAUAUUGAUGAAUUUAUAUGUGAAAAAGCUACCAUAUAUAUUAAAUAUAUAGUUUAAAUUAUGCUAUAUAUUUAUGUUUCUUGAAAUGGAAAACAUGUUAGGAUGGUUACGUUAUUCAUUUUUAACUUUCCUCCUUGAUUUAUGGUUGCAAAAUUCAUAAUAUAACUUUUAAUAAGUUGACUAUAAAAAUCAUUAGAUGUUAUUCGAAUAAUAUCGGUUAAAUUAGAAUAAUAUAACACAUUAAAAAUAUUUGGACACACCAUAAGAUGCCCAAAUUAAAUGUUUAACUAAUACAAAUUAUCUUUUUAUUGUUUGACAACUUAAUUUAAUUUAAAGAGGAAAUUUCUAAUAUAAUAGUUUCAAAAUUGUUGACCACCUAGGCCGCUACUAAGAAUCGUGUGGAAUCUAUAAUUUAUUAAUUAUAAUAAUUAAUGGAAAUGGUAGGUAAUAUAAACUUCUACUAGUAUCUCUUAAAGUUUAAAUUUACUAUAAAGAAAAUUAGAAUUUGAGUGGAAAUUAAAUGGUCUUGAAUUUGGAAAGGUAAUUAAUUCACCUAAAUGGAUAAACAUCUAUAAUUUUUCUUUUUCUUUUCCUUCCAACUCGUAGGCACCUUACUAUGAUGCUAUAUCGAAACUAUACUAAAAUUAGAUGUACUUAUAAAUAUUUUCUAAUAUGCUCUCACUGAUUCCAUGUGAACCCCAAAAGGAAAAAAAAACGUUAAACUUAACCAAAAAAUCAAAAGUAAUUAAGUAAAAUCUCAUCGUCAAUUAAUUUCAAGUUUGGUAUCAUGGUCGAUAUCAGACCAUGUUGAAAAUUUCACACAUUGAACAAACUAAGAAAACUCACACUAAUACACAAUAUAAACCUUGAAUGAAACAAUAAGUAGAUAAAUAUCUCGUUACUCGAACAAAUCAUAAAUAGAAGAUGUGAAAGGGAAUUGAAUGGGAGGGAGGGAGUGAGUGAGAGAUGUUUUUAAAAAGGAAGAAAUAUUUUUGGGAAAAUGAGAGAGGGGGAGAAAGCAAUUAAAAGCAUGGGGGGGACAAUUAAUGACAUUAAUUGAGAGUAGAGGCAUAAAGGUAUAGAAGGAAAGGGGGAUUGGAAAGAAGAAGAAGAAGAAAUGCAAUAAUAGCCAAUGGCAAGCAUGUGAGUGUCCUUAACAAAAGCAUUGAAAAUUGAUUGCCCAAAUGAAAUAGUUUUACUUCUGAUUUGGCGCUCUUUUUGCUGCGGCUAUCGCGUUCACAUGUGCUUCUUCCCCCCUCCCCUCGCCCCCAUAUGUUGCUUACCACUGCCCUAACUUCAAUCCUCCACCGACACAUUUCAAGCCCUUUUUCUUUCCUCUUUUCAAAUAUCAUCCCUACCUCAUCUUUCUUUAUUAUAACAAAUUAUUCUAAACUCUAAUUCAAUAUUUAUAAAAUGUAAUAAAAUUUUAGAUUUUGUAGUGAUAAACGUUUAUGAAAGACUGUUACCGGCUUGAUGAUUUUUGUUAUAUUUGAAAAUACUCAACUUAAUAUCGCUUUUCUUUUAAUAUUUGAGGUUGAAUGUAUGUUAAUUAAUUCGUUUUUCGUUAAUUCUUAGACACUAACGUUAAACAACAAUUAGAGCUAGUAUAUAUUUAGUACCAACUACAAUUGAAAAAAAGUAUAAUAUAUUGAAAUUUUUUAUAAUAAUAAUAAUAAUUUAUAAUUUGUUUUCAAAUCCGAAUAAUUAAUAGACUAAAGUGACCAUUAAUUAUCAAAUAUUGGUUUGGGAAUCAAAACAGAGAGACGUAGAUUAGAUCACAAGUGUGGAUAGUGGAUAAAUAAAUUAGAAGGAUAGAAUAUUCAAUUCAUUCAAACCAGAAACAUUUGAAUAUGGUUCAUUAAUUACUCAUUAUAUUUUAUCUUCGUGAAAUUUAAAUUAACUAGUAUUUAACCAUUUUUCAGUAAAGAUUUGAUCGAAUCUUGAAUAUUUUGGUUCUCAACACAUACAAGUACCAAUUGAAUUUAAUUUUUAUGAAUGAUUCACCAAUAUUACGUUGAAAAAAGCGUUUAAAUUUGUUUCUUUUAAAUAUUGCAAAAAUAAAUUCAAACCAUAUACACUCCCUGUCCUCAAGUAUUUUUUAUAAACCAUAUUAUAUAUAUUAUUAUGUAUUUGUGUAAUGUGUCGAAUAAAUAGUUGGAUGAAUUUUUGCUAUAUUUAUAAUAUAUGGUUUGAAUGUUUGAUAUUAAUGGGUAUUUGAUGCAUAACCAAUCAUUAAAUAAGAAAGAAGAAAAAGGGAAAAAAAGGGGUUCUGCCCAUAAUAAAAUACGUGCCGACAAUUCAAUUCACACUCACCUCUCUAAGCUUCAGAAUAAUUAUUAAAUGGUGGGCUAAUGAUAAAUAGAAAAUAGUAAAACUAUCAAAUUUUUUUUUUUAAUUUCUAUCUCAUGCAUUAAACUAUGUAACAUUAUUAGUCCUAUAGUAACACCUCAACCAAAGCUUAUGAUAUUUAUUUUGACAUUACAUUGAUAUAUUUGAUAAGGUCUCUUAAUCAAGGAUUCUUGAAUGUUAGCUUUUAAUAUGUAUUUGCUUGCAGUGGAUUUUUUAAAUACUUUGUUGUUGUUGUUUUUUUUUUAUAUAAUUAAUAUUUGACUAAAUUGAAAAAGAACACUCAAGUAUUAGUAUAAGUUGAACAAAUUCCUAUUUGUUUUGAUUUAUUAGAAAAAACUAUGGGCCUGGCUGUAGCUCAAUCGUACUUAGAUUACGGGCCGUUCUAUAAGGCACGGUUGGCAGAGCGUAGGCCCAAUACUUGGUGCUUAUUGCUCUGCCUCUGCUUUGCGAAUUGUUUUUGUGAUCCAAAAUACAUCUUAAUUUCUAAACUUGAGGUGCCGAUAGAUAAGUAAUAUGUGACUACUGAUAUUCGACGUAGAGAAAAGUAGUUAUUGACUUACGAAUAAACGUUAGGAAAACAAAGAGUAAAAUCAAAACAAACAUUAUCAAGAAAUGAAAAGAAAAAGUUUGUAUCAAGUGUGUAUCGUGAGUCACUUUUGUAAUGUAAGUUGGCAACAUAGAUUAACAUUAACAUAGAUGAUUCGUACUAAAUUUUGUAGUACUCGAUAGUCAAACUACAAAAUCUAAAAGUGUUUUUUCUUUGAUUAAAUUUUCUAGAUGAUUGGAAGUAAGUUUUAUUCAAACGAGGCAAGAGCAAUAAUAUUACGAAACAUCGAUUUAGUGUUUGUCAAGUCAGUUUUGCAAAGUUUAUCACUACAAAUUGAGUAAAUAUAAUAGAGUCACGUUUUGAAGGCCAUAUGUUAUAUGAGUUAUUUCAAUUGAAUAUACGAAACAACCAAACUCGUAAAAUUGUAAUUUAUUUACACUUUGUAACGUGGAGGAAAGAAAACCUGGAAAAAAGAAUCUAAUGCCAAGUCAACGAUGAGAUGAAAAAUAAGUCAUAAGUUGUUAGAUACAUCAGGUAAAAGUAUCAUAAUAACUUUACUAUUUUCUCAUGGAGGAAGGAUAAGAUAAAUUCUUCCUAUUUCUAAUAAGUUAGGGUAAGAUUUUAUUUUAUAUUUUAUUGACUCGUGACUUAUUCGAUAACGUUAAAUUUUAUCUCGAACGCAUGCAAAAGUUAUAUAUGGUAUGGGAAUAUUAUUUUUAAAAAAAUGUAUAAAUUAGAACCGUAAAAUUGUAUACAUAAAUAUGAAAAGGGAAAAUAAAUGAUUAAAGAAAUAAGUGAAGUAAAUAUUUGAAGCUAAAAAAAUAUUAAGAUUAAGUUAGAAGGAAAAAAUAUCGGAAGAGGAGAGAGACAUAGAGGGCGCCAGCGGGAUGAUGCUAUAAAUAUAAAUUCCCUACGCCAAAGGCGUGGUCAUUUAUUGAAAGGAAACCCAUCCUCUUUCUUGCCGUCCUCCGCUUUUCUCUUCUUUUAGGGUUUCUCUCUCAAACUCUUAACAAUGGCUGACGAAGCUCAGUAUUCAUCUGCUACUGAUACUCCUUCCAACAAGCGCAAGUACGAUGACCAACCUCCACCCCGCCGUCCAACUGGCUUUUCCGGUCCCAUCACUUCCCCUUCAUCCGAUUCCGCUCCCUCCUACAACAACGUCCCUCCCCCUAUGGAUGAGAUCCAGCUCGCUAAGCAGCGUGCUCAGGAGAUUGCCUCUCGCUUGAUUAUCUCCAGCGGUGGCGUUGGGGCUGGUGCUGGACCUGGCGUUGGAGCAGAUGUCAAACGUCCGAGGGUUGAAAACGGCGGCGGGUAUGACUCCUACGACAAGGGUUUUAGUUCUGGUCCAGGUGAUUAUUGUUUUGAUUUUUUUUAUCUUUGUUUGAAUAUUUCAUGGUCUUGCGUGUUUGUCGAAGGUGUAUUGAUUUUCUCACGACUCAGUGAGCUUAAAGUGAGUCAGGUCUUGUAUAUGGGAAGAAAAUAAGUGGGAACACUCGGAGAAAAUCUUGUGGAGUGCUAGUUAUAUAUUUCUUGUUCACAGGGAGUGGGUUGUGUACAAAAAGGUCCAGUGUUCGUGAUUUUCUAGAAGUGGCGUGCACUUUCUUUUAUUGCAUUUGGAGUAGAGCAUACGUAGGGGGAUGAAAUGAAGGUUUCUGGAUUUCAGUUUAGUGGUUUAGAUAGAGCUCUCUCAGUUAUCAGAAUGCCUAUGUUCCAUGUUCUUUUACCCUCGUUUCCUGUAAUAAUAACUUUAAAAUGUGCUGGUGAUGUAUUACGGUUUAAAAGCAAGAAUUGUGUACAUGUUUGGAUGCUCAUUGGUGAUCUUGAUUUGUGUGGAUGCAGACCUGAAGCCUCACAUGUCAAAUUCAGCCCCUUCAGCGAUACCUAUUUCCUAUGGUUUCCAAGGGUCAAGCAAGAAAAUUGAAAUUCCAAAUGGGAGAGUAGGCGUAAUUAUUGGUAAAGGUGGUGAGACGAUCAAGUACCUUCAGCUCCAGUCUGGGGCAAAAAUACAAGUUACUCGUGACAUGGACGCAGAUCCCAACUCUACUACUCGGAUGGUUGAGCUAAUGGGCACCCCUGAUCAAAUUGCCAAGGCUGAGCAGCUGAUAAAUGAUGUUCUUUCUGAGGUUGGUCUUUUCUUAAUUUUGGAAUUUCAUGGUGUGCCUUUGGGAGCGGCAUCAAUAUAAGUUUGUGGUUUCCUGUUAUAACGUUGACAUGCCAUGUAGCAAUACAUUGGUUUGGAUGGAUAAUGGAUUGACUACAGCCUUACCAAGUUUACAACUUUGAACUUUAUUUAUGGGCAAUAUGUUAUUCAUACGUCCGAUGCAAAAUAUGAUUGUAGUUGAAGAUAAGACUUUUUACUUGGCUUGAAAAUGUGUUUGUCUCAUAAAAUUUAUCAUUUGAAACAGGCUGAAUCUGGCGGUUCUGGCAUAGUAUCACGAAGACUAACAGGCCCUUCAGGAUCUGAGCAGUUUGUUAUGAAAAUUCCUAAUAAUAAGGUUCUCAGAAACAUUUGUUUUGGAAUUACCAAGUAUUGCUUGUCUAUCUUGGGAAUGUAAUUCUGUUCACUUUUUGUACUUCUGAUCGUGAAAAUAUUAAUUUUUCUAGGUUGGCUUGGUUAUUGGUAAAGGUGGUGAAACAAUCAAAAGUAUGCAAGCUAGGACUGGAGCACGUAUCCAGGUCUGUUCUAUCUUUAUGUGUAUAUAUGUAUAUAUUACAUACGUCUUUUAGAAGGCUUCCCAAAGCUAACUUCCGUUCCUUUUUAUUUCAAUAGUGCAACUAAUUUUCACUUUCUUUGGUCAUGUAACAUAGAACAUUGUUUUGAAUUUUGAUUGUAUGGCAAUAUCUACUCUUCUUUUCUGUAGGUGAUACCAUUGCACUUACCCCCUGGGGACACAUCUACAGAAAGAACCUUACAGAUUGAUGGUUCAAGUGAACAGAUUGAGUCAGCAAAACAGUUGGUUAAUGAAGUUAUCAGCGAGGUGCGUUUGCAGAUCUGGGUUACAUAUUUAUUUUGCCUUGUUGUAGUUGGAAUUAAUACCUGGUUAACACCUACUUCCAUUUAUUUUUGUGUUUAUAAUGAUUUUUCCUGCUUGUCUUUGGUUAUUUUUUAUACAACUGUUGAUGCAACUGUUCCAUCUUAUUCUGAAACUCCUUUAGUUCUAUUCUCACAAAAAAAAACUCCAGUUUUAUUAAUUUUAGGGUUCUACCUCAACGCCAAGGUCAGCAUUAAACCAGUGGUGUUGAUUGGACGUUGGCAUAUUUGCUUUCCUUACCUUGUAGUUUACAUUAUGCUGUGAUAUGGGAGGCAUCUGGUAUUCAUUGGCUUAAAUUAUACCUCCAGUUUUAUUUAGAAAAUGAUAUCUGCUUCUUGUUCUUGUUCUUUUUUUUUUUUGGUAUUAUGUUUCUCUUUCAAAUUAUGUUUUCUUACACAGGCUUGUUACCUUGUUUUAUUUGUUAUAAUUUUGUAAAAUCAUUCUACAACAUUAUGCUGCUUUUUAUUUCUGGGAGGAAAUAGUUGAGAAAAAAUUCCCGUUUUUAUGUGGUUCUGUCGGACAACUGACUCAACAAGAAAUUGAUUUAUUUUUUUCCUUCACUAAUGGUACUUCUUGGCUCUUCUUAAUUUUACUCUACUAGUGUAAUGGAUCUUCUACAAUUUCUGGCUUAAACACUAUACAAUAUGCUCAGCAUAUGGUGUUCUUGUUCCUUUAACGAACUAUUAAUCUGCUGCUGUGUCUGCAAAUCUGCAAAAUCAUUUAUUGCUAAUGCUAAUGCACUCAUGCUCUGCUAAUAUGCAUUAGCAUUUUGACUACAGUAGGAAGGCUUGUUCUCUCACUGUGCUCAUACUUUCGUCUUUGAGGGGGGCUCCCUUCGUAGGUCUAUGGAAUCAAAUGCUGCUUUGUGGUUUCACUCAAGGAAUUAGAAACAUUGGAAUAUUUCAGCCUGUUAUACUUUUAGAUCUCUUAUAGAUUGAGACAGCUUUUAGGUCUUUUACCCCUAAUCGAUCUGGAUUUGUUAUUAUAUCUGCAAUUGUUUAUUCUAUAUAUCCACUAAUGCAGAGAUGGAGGACAUAAGGUUCUGGGAUUGGAAAGAGGUGAAAUUAUUUUACAGAUUACUGCUUGGUAAUUUUUUGAAGAGUGAUUAUUGUAUCAGAAAGGUUCCCAUUGGUGAUUUGCUGGCUCCUUUGGAUAUUUCAGUUUAUCAGUCAAAUAUUACUCUUAUUAGGUUGUUUAGGUUAUAUGAUAUCUCUCCUAUUUAAGAUGUUAUCAGCCCAUUUGGUAUUAUUCUUGGUUUUAUAUCUAAGUGUUAUAUUAUUGGGAUUAUGGCCUGUUCAACCGUCACAUGUGCUUAUUAAUUAUGUAUCCUGCAACUGAUAUUGUUAUUGGGAACUAUUGUAGGGUUAGGGUUAUUGGACCAUUAGUGACACCAACAUGGAAUCCUUUAUGUUGGUGUUCUCUCAACGUUGCUCUGGUAUGGUUCUGAAUCCCAUAUUAUAAUGAUAUAAAGUGAUGAUGUGGAGAGAAGUUGCAGGUUUAUCUGUUGGAUAUUCAAGGUCUUUAGUAAAAUUUGAAAAGUCACCUUACCAUUCUAUCAUUCUUUUUCUGGUGGUUUACUUUGAUUUGGGAGAGUUUCAUCUUUUAGUCUAUAAAUUAUUCAUUUCUUAAUUGUCUAUUUACUGUGCGUACCAUUUGUGAAAUUAUUUUAGUUUAAUAUAGGCAUGCGGGUUAAUUUGUUGGAUAACUGUACUAUGAUGUAUUUUUGGUACUAUCAUAUUUUAGUGGCAACAUCACCUGAUCGUUCAGUGAGUCCGCCUUUGAUGGAUAUUCCAGAAAGUCCUUUAGACUCCUGUUUUGGUUUAAUUAGUUAUUAUUAUAUGUUUUCCACCAAAAAGAUGAAUUCUCUAAUUAUUAAUUUUUUUACUUAAAUUGACCUUAACAUUGUUCUUGUAAUUGAAGAAUAUUUUCUUGUUUCAAUCUUUAUGGGCUAUCUUUAGUUACUUUGGAGAUUAUGGAUCGUUUCUUACAAAGGUCUGUAUAUGUCAGUGUCUUCUUUUUCAUCGUCCAAAUUGCUUUUCAGCUUUUUUGGAAGUAUUUUUCUUUACAAUAAUUUGCAAUCAAAAUUCUUUUGACUAUAAAAUAUUUUUCACUUCAUAUUCUAUUGGUGUCUGAAGAUAGUGUAUGGGGUUGUUUAGUUUUAGCUUGAUAUCCAACUAAUUGAUUAUUCUAUAGAAGAUUUAAUAAUUGGGGAAGACAUUGCUUUUGUUGUGCUUUGCUAUGAACUUCUUUGCCUUUUGGGGCAAUUAAGUUCAUAUAUUCUGUUCUGUAAAAGCUUUUGUAGUCGUCUGGUUCUCUUUGCACCCAUUCACUUCGAAUAGGGAGAGGUUGAGCUUCUGCUGGAGUAACUCAAUAACUCAUCAUCCAGUACGGUAUGUUGGUGUUUUAUACUCUUCCUAAUGCAGUAUAAGCUCCUUUAAUCCCUCUACAAAACAUACUGACUAUGGUUUUCUUUUUGCAUAUCCUUGAUUUCAGAUUUGGCAUUUUCUUUCCAUUUCGCAUAAUGCAUAUGAAUGUUGUGCUUUCCUCUUCUUACCAUCCCCUACGUUGGUUUCUUACGUUAAUUGAGAAGGAUUCACCUUUGUUUUCAUUUUUAUGUUUAAUCUCUCAGAAUCGCGCGAGAAAUUCAGGUAUGUCAGGCGGGUAUAAUCAGCAAGGUUAUCAAGCUCGACCCCCUUCAAGUUGGGGUCCUCCUGGGGCUCCACCAAUGCAGCAGCCUAAUUAUGGCUAUGGACAACAAGGCGGAUAUUCUGCUCCUUCGUCUCAGUAUAACAUAUCACAACCUCCUUAUCAGGGUUAUUCCCAACCAGCAUCUGGUGGAUAUGCUUCCAAUUGGGACCAGUCUACUGUUCCGCCAAAUCAACCUGCUACUCAAGGAAGUGGUUAUGAUUACUACGGUCAACAGGCUCCACAGCAACAACAGACAGCUGGAGGCCCUGGUGCUACCGGAGACAACAGUGGUUAUAGUUAUGGUCAACCACCAGCCACUACUUAUAAUCAACAGGGUUAUUCUCAAGAUGGCUAUGGUGGUAAUUACCAUGCACCUCAGUCUGGUUAUGGCCAACCGCCAACAUAUGAUCAACAGGGUUAUAGUUCUACCACAAACUAUGGUAAUGUGGCUAACGCCACUCAAGAUGGGCUCAAUUCGUAUGGCUCUCAAGGGGACUCAUCACAGACGGUCCCUCCUGCUGCACCACAGCCCUCUUCAGUGAGUCAGCAAGGUUAUAGUGCAAAUCAACAGCCUAGCCCUAACCCAGGGAGUUACCCUCCACCAAGUCAGUCGGGGUAUGGAAUGACUGCACCUUCCCAAACUGGCUAUGGAAAUCAACCUGCUGCUCAGGCUGCUUAUGGGGCUGCUUAUGGAGCUCCUCAGACUCAGAAACAACCUCCUACUAAUCCUCCAGCCUAUGGUCAAAGCACUCAGUCACCAAGCACCGCUAGUGGCUAUGGGCAACCUGCUGGAUUGCCAUCUGGAUACUCAAGUACGCAGCCACCCGCAUCCGGGUACACUCAACCAGAUUCUGCUUCUCAACGUGCUCCACCAUCCAGUUACGGCACUGCUGCAGCUCAGCCAGGGUUUGCGCCACCUCCAUAUGGUGGUGCUCCUCCAACAAAUCAGUCAGCUUACGGGCAAGCUCCACCACCUUAUGGUGGCUCUUAUGGUGCUGGUUACCCUCAGCCCCAUUAUUCAUCUGAAGGUAAUGCAGGUGGUGCUACUCGUGGGGGCUAUGAUUCUGCAUCAGCUGCUCAGGCAGCGACCCAAAGUGGGGUUGCAAAAGCAUCACCAAAAAGUUGAUAAUAUUGUAUGUGUUUGCUUAGGUGUGUAUGUUGCGGAGAACGUAGCUUUGUUUUUGUGGUUUUUAUUAGACAGGUAGUUUUAUGAGACCUCAUUAAUGCCCGAAUUCUUUACUGUACUUUGUUUUGCUAUGGUUAAAAACGGUUCUGGAGUUUUGUCUCUCUUGAACAAAACACUCUUUCUCUACAGGCGGUGGCGUCUCCUUGAUGAUUUUGAUUUUUGAUUGUGGCGUUGGGGAUUAAGACUGUUUAGGAUUAUUGUAACUUUAAGCUACGGAAAUGGUAAAAUAGCAUUUAUUAAAUAAAAUGUUAGAUAUGAAAAAUUCUUAUUUCAAAUGUUUAUAUGAACUUAUAGCAAAAUAAUACAAAUACAUCUUUUAACAGAUCUACUUAUUCAAAAAAUUAUUAUAAUACUUUUUUCUAUUAAAAUUUAUGCGUUGUAAAAUAUUGAUGUGUGAUAUAUUGUUAUAGUAAAGCUGAAUCCUUUACUUCCAUGUGUGAUACAUUGUUAUAGUGAAUAUAAAUACAGAAGUACACUUGGAAAAACGGAAAAAUGUGUAUGGCAGGUGAACUUCUAUUUCUUUUCUCAGGUAAAUAUAAGUCUAACCCAAAAAAAUUCGGAUCUCUCCCCGCUGUAUCCUAGAUUCUUGUAUAGUUUAAAAGAAAUUAUUCCUAAAAGCCAUGAAUGCUUUGGGUGAAAGUAACAAGAUGAACGCAAGGACCGAACCAAAUAACAAUUUGAUAGCAUAUAGGAAGGGAUCGUGGUCAUCUGCAUCUGUUGAACUUGUGUGGGGUGCCAAUGCCGUUGCGGAUGGAAGGGCUUCAAUUACUGCAUCAGCCAAAUCUGAAAUGAAUGAAGAAUUGCAAUUGAGGGCAGGCACACGGCCCCAGUUUUGGAUUCCAGAUUCAAGUGCCAAGUGCUUAUACUCCAUAUCUAUCUCCUCGAGAGUCUCAAUGUGCUCACUCACAAAGCUGGGAAGAGACAAGUAAAACUAUUAUAAACAAAACGCCACCAGUGCAUAAGAAUAUCCAACUUCACUUAACACGCUUCACCUUCUCCAAGUCUUUCAAAACAAGUAAAACAAAUUGUAAACACGAUCAAACAGCAUACUGCUUAUAACCAGUUGAUUGUUUUAAAGCAAAAAACAGUUGCCUUUUUUAAUUUUGAAGAAAAACCACGUAAACAGCCAAUCUUUUGUGAUGAAGUUCAAAGUUGAGGAACGACCAAGAAAGCCCAAAAUUAUUCAAAGCACUUUGGGCCUAAGGUUCUCCAUCAUUAACACUAGCACAAGGAGUUCGAAAUAUAUAAUUGUCACGUGAAUUAACUUCAUUAAUAUUCACUCUAAGAUCAUAUGAGAACCAAGAUGAGAAGGAUCCCCUGGAAUUAUGAAGCUACAAGGAACCAAAAACCAAACAAUCAAAUUAACAGUUCGUCCUUUUAUGGUUUAUGAACAAGCCAUACCUCACGGGAACGGCUAGGAGACUCUUAAUACCCUUCUGGCCAAGCUCAACAAGAACUUCAUCUGUGUAUGGCUUAAGCCAUUGUACAGGUCCAACACGGCUCUGAAAAAUGUAAUACAUAACAAGAAUAAAAAACCACACGGAUGUAGUUAGGAAAACAAUGAAAUAAAAUGAUAGAAAAUCUGAAUAGUUGUUGGGGCUCAAAAUGUUAAAGAAAAAGAUAGGAAACCAUGCCAAGCUUCAAAUUUAUUACUAACCUGGUAUGCAAGAGUAUGCUCAUUCCCAAUUCCUCUGGCUUUCAGCUCUUGCAUGAUUAGGCAGAUGCACUCUUCCAUUUGAUCUUUGUAUGGAUCUCCAGCAUUCUCAACAUAACUGACGGGAACCCCAUGUGCACUAAAGAAAAUCAUGACCUAAGGUGCAAAUAAGUGAUGCUAUAUUAAGAACUAAUUGACUUGGACAUCCAUUGCUGCAUAAAAAUAAAGCAUCUCUCUAAAAUAAGUUUCAGCAAAAAUUAAGUACCUCUUGAGGAUUGGCAAAAUUCUUCAGCUCUGCCUGCAUCAAGUCAGCCAUUGACUUAAUAUACCCUUCCCGCUGGUACCAGGACUUUAUAAUUGAAACAGGCAACGAUGAGAGAUAUGCAUCUUCCCUGAUAGACAACUCAUAGUCAAUAAGUUAAGUUGGUAGCAGUAAUUUUUUUAAUAAUAACAAUAAAAUCAAAAUAUUAUAAUACUAGACACGAUCAUCACCUGAACAUCUUCUGGAGAACACGAAUACUAGACCCAGUUGUAGAAAUAGAGUACUGUGGAUACAAUGGCAGCACCACAAGUCUUGUUAUCCCAUCCCUCUUAAUCUGCCACACACAGCAAAAGGAACUACCAAUUUUAAACUUCAUUUCAAACAAUGCUUCAAACAAAAACGUGAGGUUACAGGCAUAUUAGGAAAUCCCGUGGUUGGUAGUAAUAUAAAAUUCUUCCCUCCAUUCGAAUUACAAGGCAAGGGGAAUAGAUAAAACAUAGAGCGUACUUGCUGAAUUGCUUCCUCUGUGAAAGGGUACCAAUAGCGCAUUCCCACAUAGACAUUAGUAGACAUGUUUUUCUCCUCCAAAGCCAUUUUAAGCGCUUGUGCCUGCAACAAGUAUUCACAAAUUAUCAAUAUUGAACAUUUGUUUUAUACCCAACUGGGAUAUGCCAUGAUGAACAAUUUGAAGGAAAUAAGAGAGGUCAAUCAACCUGUUCAUCUGUGAUUUUACGCAAAGGUGAGCCACCUCCUAUUGAAGCAUACCCUUCUUUGCUUUUGGGAGCACGGUAUGUAGAUAUUAAUUUUGCCAAUGGCUCUUGGAGGAAACGGAACAACCUUGGGAGUCGGAUAAUAUCCUAUGCAUCAUGAAAAGAAGUAAGAAAAAAGAGCUAUUGGCAUGUUAAUUUGUUGUUAAGACUAGUUGCAUUAAUUAACUAAGAUACCGGAUCUGCAAAUAGAUUGUACAGAAAUGGUUGGACAUCAUCAAGCGUUUCCGGCCCUCCAAGAUUCAAGAGCAGAACUCCCACCUUGUCAUCCACUGCCUGAGAUUGAGAUUCUAAAGCAAAUUCACCAACGGUGAAAGUUCCUACUGAGCAACAUGCUUGCCCCAGACGGCUUUUCUUCUCAAUGGGGCCAGAAAGAUGUAACCCCUGAAUUACAUCUCUGUCACCAUUGGAGCUAGAACAAGAAACCACUAAUCCUGUAGACCUAUCACGAACUUGCAGAUUUCCAGACGUUUUGCAAGAGAAAGUCACGCGAGAUUUCGGCAAAGAGCAUAACCUGAAAACAGGAAAAUAUACAUUGAAUUCCUAACUUCGACAAUAUAACACCUAAACCCCCCCUUAAAAUAUCAGUCACUGCCAUGACAUCCUCCAUACAAUAAAAUAACUAAGAAACUUCCUUCACAUCAACUCCAGCUACUAGAAUCCACGAUCACAUAACUUCACAUUGAUCGAACUAAAAGGACUGAUUCCAAGUAUACGACACGGGGUAACUUCAUCCAAUAAUCAACAUAGAGUUCAAAUGGGGGCGAAAUUUUAAAAGGGUACAAACGAUAUAAACCAAAAUCCAGAUUCCAAAGCAAGAAGAAAAGGUCGGUUAAGAAUUAACCGAUAAGGAACAUGAAGAAGAAGUGAUAUAAAAGAGAACUUACGAUGAAAUUCUUUGAUCCGAAUUGAGGGUAUUGGUGGAACCGUGAAGCUUGAUAUUGGAGAGGGCGAGAGAGGAAGAGGCGGCGUCCAUGGAGUCGAAAAUUGGAAGAACAACGAUCUAAAUCCAAAACCCGAGAAGAAAUUGAGUACAGAUAUGAGUGAGGAAGAAUGGGAUUGGUCGAUUAUAAAAAUUGGAGAAAUGGGAAACGUGGAAUCGGAAGGAGGAAGAACGGUAGAGAAGUCAAAGUUGGGGGAGGGAAGGAUCCGGGAAAUGGAAGCGCCAACCACUCUCCCAAGUCUCACCAUUAUAUAUUCAAAGUUUGUUUCGUGUUGAAGACUCAACGCAUCUACGUGUGGGCCGUACUCCUAACUUUCUUUAAUUUCUAAUUUUCAUCCAUAUAAUUAUAUAUAAAAAAAGUUAAAAUUUAAUUUCCAUAUUUAAAAGUUAGGAUUAAAAUAGAACAUAUUUAGUCAAAUUAAUAACUCGAGUUCCUCUUAAAUAUGUUCUUCGAUAUUUUUACAAAUCUCAUCUAAGUUCGAUGGUACUUAACUUAUUAAGUAGGAGUAAAAAUUGCUUAUUAAUGCUACAUAUCGCUACUAAAAAUUUAUCGAUAUCUAAAGUAACUAAUAAUUUUUGUUGAUUUGCAAUUUUUAAAAAUAUUGCUCAGCCCUACUUACCUAAAUUUUAAUUUUCUAAAAAAGAAUUAUUCGAUUUUUUUGGUAUUUACACGUGUAUUAUGUAGGUAGUGCAAAAACUUCAACAAAAUUGGUCUAAAUUUGUAUCAAAGAAAUUUAGGCAUUUUUGGUACUCACUACAUAAUACAUUUGUUCUGAGUGGUUGUUUGAUCCUUAUCUAAAUUACGAAAAAAAUAAAAAGAAUAAAUUGAAAUAAUAAAUAAGUUUCCUAAAAUUAACUAAAUUCCUUCUUUUCACCUUUGUAAAAGGUCAAACGUGGAAUGAAAUAUUAUUCAUUAUGAUCCAAAGAAAGAAGUAAAGGUGUCUAGUGAUAUCUUAUAACAUAGAUCACCAUUGAUAGCAAUUGUUUAUAAGAAGAGUCCAACAUCAUUCUUUCCAAAGAAAAUUCUCAUCCUAUGUUGAAAAUAGAUUAUCGUUCUAGAUAUGAAAAAUGAUCUGUCAACAAAGGUAAUCCAUAUUCUAUAUGAAAUUUUAUUUUGUCUUUUACCAGAUGGGUUAAAAGAUUUUUUUUUCUUCAAUAAAUACACAAGCAACCAUUAGAAUUCACAUCAUUUUACCAAGUUGAUUAAAUCUACACUUCAAUCCUUCUAAAUUUUCAUGGGAUGGAAAUUAAACGAGGGGCGGAGGCGAGGGAAUCAUCCCAUCUUGGUCAAAUUCCAAAUAUACCAAACCUAAAAAUGACCAAACUUCAACUUCAUUUGGGAAAAAAGGGGGAAAACAUAUUAUUUCCAAAUAUAGAGAAAACAAAAAUGGCUGAUGAUACUAGAAAUCAUUGAUUAUAGUGUAAAUUUGAUUGGUUGGAGCAUUAAGCAGAUGUGAAACUUGUCUCAACAGUCCGAACACUACUUGGUCAAAUUCCAAAUUUCCAAUCAACAUCAAAGUCCCAUUCUUUCCAAGAAACUAAUGAGAUUCUCCACUUACUAGACAAAAAGAAGGGUAGGAAGGAAAUGCAUGUAAAUGUAACUCAAAAUAGUUAAAAGUGUUAGGAUCCAGUAGAGAUUAUACAGACGAAAUAUUUUAGAGAAAGAAGGAUACUGAGUAUAUCUUCAUUCGACAUUUGAAAAUCCGGCACCACCUUCCGCUCGAGUCCUGUCCAUGGGCACAAGCUUAGUCAUUUAGGGGACUGAUAGGGUACAAAAGAAAGAUGAGAACAAAGAUAAUAAAGAGCAAGAAAGUCAAAGUGAGCUAGCUCGAUGGUAAGUGAAGUGUGCUAGCUCGAUAGUAAUUGAAAUAUACUCAUUUCUCUUUAGGUUAGAGGUUCGAAUUUUCACAACCCCAUAUUUUAUACUAAUGAGCAUACGGAACUUUCAUCGACUUUUUGAAAAAGAUAAACACCGGAACAAGCAAUGGAUAAGAAACUGUUAAUAGCUCAAUCAAGGGGCAUCCUCAAAUAAGUUGAGUAGACGGAUGUGAUCAAAACACAAGGACAAUAAUUUGAAAGAAAAUAAUUAUAAACAAAAAAGAUGGAUAAGGAGAAUGUAUAGCUAUAACGUAUGCAGUGUCUUCUACCGUGGAGAUUGAACUGAGUGAAAGACACUUCAGAUUAAUGCCUUCUUGGAGCCAAAGAACAAGUAAAAUAUUAUCAAUACCAUCCAUCAAUGGAAAUAGCACUUACUUGUGGUCAGAAGGAUUUGGUGUGAUUUCGUAGACAAUUGUUGCAACAACAUCUCUCUUUAGCUGUUGAUUAAAAUGAAGAUAUUUAGUUAUUUAAAUCAACAAAAUCAUCAACUGAUUCUUGCCCACAACUUUACCUGCGUGGCUUCACCUUUCAACCCAAUGUAGUGUAUCUGAGUCGUGUCACCACCAUAAUUAUCAGGAAAAUGCAAAGUGAUGUUUCCCACACCUUGAAAUUUGGAAUAUCUGAUUAUGUAUAUAAAUUAGCUGUCAAAAAAUAGUUGUAAUCUAACAUUGAAAGAAUUCACAGGCUCGAUAAUUAUAAGGGGAAAGAAAAUGCUCAAUUUUUUUGCUAUCAAUUCAAACAUUUUCAGAUGAUCUGAAAGAUAUGUUCCUCUAUAAAACAUCCUUACCUUGUUUGGUACUCUAAUACUCCUUGCAAAUUCUCAGCCAAAUCCCACUCCUAGAAUAAUAAAAAAUGCGUUACAGUUACAACAUAUGGUUAGGCGUCAAAAUUUCUCCAUGAAUCUCCGCCAGACAUGCUAACAGGUAGUACCUGAACAGCUUGCAUACUUUGAGCAUCUGAGAAGUCAAUACCUUCUCGAUUGAUAAACCUGAUUAUGAAGGAUAACUUGCGUAUAAGAACUAACGCAGGGAGAGAACUAGAAGGGAUAAAACUUAAUAUUCACAUAGAAAACCAAGUGUGUGAAAGUUCCAGAACAUCGAACUUACACCCUCAUCUUUGAAGGACUAGUACCAUCUGGACCACCAAUGAUAGAUAUGCUUUUGAUCUUAACAUCUGAUGUAAAUCUAAUCAUAAAAAAAGUGGUAAUGAAUUUUUAAGAAACAGGGAGAGUGCCAGAACACAAAAAGCGCACACCACAUAUAAGCAAUGUAGCCAUCGCUGCAAAACAAAGAUACAGGCACAGAAAUCUUCAUGACAUAAUAUAAAUUUUAUUAUCAGAUAACUAAAAUUGUUCUUGUGAUAUCUGCUUUCGAAGUUUCAGACCAGCCGACAAACACAUAGAUUCUUAGACAAACAGUUUUCUCUUGGUAGGAACACGAAAUUGCGUUUAGGAAGGGUAUGAAUUUACUAGGUGAAAUGGCUGAGCACCUAUGGGAAUUAUUUAGGAAGGCUAGAAGAAUAAAAAAAAAGGGGGGAAGUCGUGAUAAUUUAUGUCUUCACAAAAUUAUUUAUUUCCAUAUUCGCCCUGAGAUAUAUAAAAGGGAUGGUUGAGAAACUAUAAAUUUUAUUACAUUAAAAUGUAAAUUACGAAUAACCAUUACAAUAACUGUACUUAUUAACGAGUACAUAUCAAUGUUAUUAAGGUAUCAGGUAUAGUUAGAAUCCAAAAGUACAGGAACACCUACGGGAUGAAAACUAGCAGUUCAGGAUCACCCUCGUUGCUUUCCAAGUGAUCCUGUUGUAUAAAAACGAAAUAUAUGAGGCUACUUUAUCCUAGCAAUCGGGUACAUGGCACUGAUACACGCAGAUAUAAAGGUAAGGUACCCCAGAUGAGUUUAACCGAUGCUCCCAAGCUUUAAAUACUGACUUCACACUUCCUGGAGUUGCCUCAUUCAAAGCUGAAACCUAAAAAAAUAGCAGAACCUGUGAUCAUAAAUAAAAUUUCCACCAGUUCCUUUGAGGGAAAAAAAAUUAUAAUACGUGUGGGUUCGACAUGCAAUCUACAAUAAGAGUUCAAGGCUCUUCCAUAAAAGUUACUCAUAAGAUUCAAUUGAUUCCGUCCACAAUUAUCAACUUGCAUGAAACAUGCUAUUGACGGAAGGGGCAAUUGUCAUCCUUGUGUGAUUUUAAGAGUAAUGCAUUCAAAGAAUUUCUCCAAUCUUAAAGAUGAAAAAACUCAACAUCAUUAAUACUUCCACAUAUUCACUCAUAAUCUAACCUCUCCGAUUUCUUCUAGCCUUAAAAUAAACAGGAAGAUUUAUCAGUUUCAUCAAUACUUCGCCCACAGUAUUCAUUCCAACGUCAGCAGACAAUUACUUGUGCCUUAAAAGUUAUGGGGAAAAAUCCGUCAGCAUUGCUAACAUCUACUCAUAAUUGUUCCAGUUAUUGAACAACUCCAAUAAGCUUGCAAGACAAGAUGGCAAUGGAAAAUAAUAUAUUUCUAACAAAGUUAUCAAAUCCCCUUAAUAGUAACCAUUGAUGUUCUUGCUAUGCGUGCUAUGUUUAUCUCUCGUAUAACUCAAAUAUGAAUAAAAUAGUGGAAAUAUUAGCACAAUCCUCUUCCAAUUUCUUCCCAAAUGGCUAGGCUGUAAACCCAACUUGGAAAAAGGUAAUGUAAUUAAGAUGUAACAAAAAACAACAAAAGAAGAGAACCAGAGAUGGAAACAAGAGAACAAUAUUGCACGGACGAUCAGCUACAGUUGAGUUUUGUGUUCAUUUGAAGUGAAAACUAAAAAAAUUAACCACUAAUGCACUAGCUUCUAUCACUAACCAUGAAAUUCUCCAACAUCAUUCCCACUAAGCCAUUAGGCCAGUUCCCUCCAAUUUAGGAGGCACUACCUAAAUUAAACCCAUCAACAUAAAUUAAAACUAAUUACAAAUUAAGUUGCACUAAUUCUUAACCUAAGAAAAACCCAAUUUGCAUGUGAGGAACCAUAACCAACGGCAGGAACAAAGAUUCAGCUCAUUCAUGAGAUCAUGGGCAAUUGCAAUUCACAUAAUAUUUUCCAAGCAGUGUAAUUGGGAAGGAAACUAAAAAAUUAUCAUUCAGCUAAUGGGUAUGGAGAUAAUUAAAAUCCAAAGCCUGGACAAUCAAAUUUCAUAUUGAACGAUGGAAAAUGAUUAUACGAAUAUGUUUGAAGUGAUACGAAGUCGUAAAACGGAUUGUCAAAGAAGAAAAUUCGUGUGCUAGAGGUAGAUACAGAUAUGCACUAACUCUGGGGAGGUCUAUGUGCUUGUAAAGAGACCAAUCAGAAGAACAAUCGUGAUCUUCGCAGCUGUGAUCGUGUAAGCAAGCCAUCUUUGAGGUUCCAGAACAAUAGGCAGAACGAAGAGAGAUUUCAGAGGUAAAAGAGAAAGUGCGAGAUGCUCAAAACGGCGCCGCUUCUGUACGUGAAGGAUUGUUUUCGCUUUGAUAUAAAGCCAUUACAAGAAAACAUCAAUUACAUUUUGUUUGUUUUUUAAUAGCCGUGACUAAAAUAAAUCAAGAGAUUAUAAUAAAUGAAAUUAUCAAGAUCAAGAUGAUAUUUUCUAAUGGAACAAAAAAAGAAAGAAAAAACGAAAAGUUGUAUCCUUAAUUAUACUAAAAAGGAAUAAUAAUAAUCCAUCAACACGUUAUUUGGUAGCCUUCAACAUAAUUAGUGUUUGCAUUCAAAAUGUGGAAUAGAAAUAGGAUCAUGAAACGUCGAAACAAUGAAAAAUUAGAGUUGAGGAUCAUGAAACGUCGAAACGAUGAAAAAUUAGAGUUGAGUUGAGAACCGUGGAAAUGAAAUCAGUUUUAGUAUUACAAAUUCAAUCCAAAACCAAAACAUCCAAUCCAAACUCAUUCCACGACGAGUCUCCAAACCACUGUAAUCGUAUAGGAUGUGUGUUAAAGGAACAAAUUUAGGGUUACUUUGUUUAUAUAUUUUUUUGAAAAAAAAUACUAUUUACAAAUAGAUUAUUACAAAGAUCAACUUGGAUGAGCACCUUCAAUGAACAACUUUGAGAAUUAUUUUAGUAACCAACUUCAAAAAACGACAUACGAUGCCGAAUUUUGACAAUGACCUUUUAUGAUAAUCAAUUUUGAUGGUUACUUCAUGCCACUAACCCUAGUGAAAAGUAUUUUUAUACUCUCCAAUACAAACAAUUACAAUUCAUACUAUUUUAAUUAAUCUACACUCUAAAUAUACAUUUCAUAACAUAGAUUCUAUUUCACAUAUUACAAUAACCAACUCGAAGUCACAAAGAAUCUCGUCUACAAAUCAAUCUCGAGUAGAUAUGAUUUUCCUUUUCUUCUCCGUCGUGUGAACACUAUGUGCCCCAAACAACCCUACUAUGUUGGAUUUCUUAAUUAACAAGGGAACUCAUUUUUGUCCCAUGUGUUCAAUGACGGACGUUAAAUGUACUUUUCAUUUAAACUAAGCAAAGGGAGAGAGAGGAAAAAAAGUUAAGGCUUCACCAAAAAAAUUUAAUUAUUGUUUAGAUGAUUUGAUCAUCAACUUAAUUGACUAAUAAUUUGUAACAAAUAUAUUGCUUAUUUAAAGCUUGAUUUCAAAAUUACUCAAUAAACAAACAGUACAAUCAAUCACAAAAAUUCAACCCUAAAAUGCAUCAAUCGUACAAAGUUUAGUAAUAAACAUUAAUUGAUAGAAAGUAUUCUAUUAUGAUAGUUUUGAGGCACAUAUUUUAGGUUGGAAGAAGCACAAUUCAUAGAUAUAUAAUAACUUUAAAUUGGUCCAUACAAUAUUUUAAUUAAGUGAUAUUGUUUUAGUUAAAUUAAAUUUCAAUCCGUGUAUGAAUUUACUUGAUCUCGAACUUAAAAAAUCUUUUUUGAAAUGUUUACUUGACAUUUCAAUUUGUAUUCAACAAUCUUUAGUUAAUUUAAUUGAUGUUUUUAAACGUUAGAGACUUAUAAUACACAAUAUUAAAAAUUUAUUAGACACAAGUUUUAAUUUUAUAUCUUAAUUGUUCAAUUAACGGUUAAAAGUUACUAUAUGUUAUAAAUUAAUGAACCUAUUAAACACAAAUUUUAAAAUCUUUAUAAAACGGAAUCUCUAUUUCUAAUACAAAAAUAGUUAUGGAUCAUGACAAUAUGUUUGCUACUAAGUAUGCUUAAAAAAUAAUAAGAACAUAUUAACUAACUAGUUAAAAACCAACACUAUUUUUAUAAGUUGUAGGUUGAAAAUUUAAUUCCUACCUUUACUAAAAAAAAUUAGAGUAUUGUUGAGAUGAAAAAAAAAAAAAAAAACCAUAUGCAUAUGGUAAAUUAAAAAGAUAUUUAUUGAUUGAAUUAUGGUAUAUAUCUGAUCUUAUAAGUAAAGUAUAUGAGAAUGGACAUAUUAUAUCAUAAUUUAUCCGUUCUAACUAGAAGACAAUUCAAGUACUUUGGUCAAAGACUCAAAGGUUAAUUAUGAAUGGAUUAUUUAUUAUAUAACUUAUCAUCCACAAAUUAUUUCACUUUUAAUGCAAUAUCCCUUUCUAUGAUAUUUUCUAAAGAAAAAAAGCAAUCACAUUCUCUGCCCUCUUUUAUCUUCUCUUUCUUUCUAAUAAUUAUCUGAUUCGUAUAACUAAAAGUUUAUUUUUCAUUCUAUUUAUAAGUUUUGCGAGUGCACGUUUGAGUUAAUAAAUUAAUCUUGAAAAGCAAUUGACAUGUACGAUUUAGUAUCGACGUCGAACUAAAUUUUACUUUCAAAACAGUGGUUCGAAACGAUACAACAUGAUCAACAAUUAUUUUGUCUACUACUACUAUAUUGUUUCAUUUUACUAGAAUUAUAAAAUAUAGCUAAAGUUAACAUUUAUUAAUUAGUUCUUAAUUUAAAUUUAUUUAUACUUUAUUAUUUAAAUAUACUUGCGUAAGAUUAUAUACCGUCACUGUAGGCAACGUAAUGAAAAACAUUUUGGUUAAUAUUUGAAUAUAGAUCUAUUCAAGAGCUUUCUCUUAAUGUAAGUGAUGAAUUUCUCUUGUUUAACCACGAACAUGAUUUUAACUAUUUUUUUUAAAAGGUCGGUCUUCCGUCUUUAAAUAAAACCAAUUUAAAAAUCACCUCCAUUCUUUAUUUGGAGAGUUUAUGAUUGAUCUCUUCCCAAACCACUGAUUAGGGUAAAUUUUAGAAAUAUAUUUUAAUAUCAUAACAAAUAUUAAUUAAGCCAAUAAUAAAGAUUUGAUUGAUAACAGUUUUACUAAAGUUGAAGAAACUAAAAAAGAAUGAAAAUGAUAUUUUAGUAUUAAAAAGGAUUGAAGAAAAAAGAUGAGAAAUGGACGGAUAAUAAGAUUCCACACCCAACCGCGAAGGAAUCUCGCCUAAUAUUGAUAUUUGCUAUUUAGUGGGUCAUAGCUUUCCCUAUCAACUUCAACUUGCAAUGUAUUAAAGUUGAAAAAAUGACCGCAACUAUUAUCAUUACACGUGUAAGGUCAGGAUUCAUCACCAGGGGCAACUAAGUCUUUUACAAAAACCCGCAAGAAAAUUUCCAAUUUUCUUUUUUAUAUAUAUUAAGUGAAUUUGUAAUCAUCGUUCUAUACCCACCGUGUAGCCCAAGUUUCCCGGCAACUUCAUGGCUCGAAUCCCCACCGGAGUUUUACUCUCUCUUCUAUUCCUUGCCGUAAUCGGUCUACCUGCCGGAGCCCGGGACCUUCCCGGUGAUUUUCUCCGGUUGCCGUCCGAGGCACUGAAAUUUUUUCGCGGAGGAGCUUCCGACGCUAGCGACGAAGACUCCGUGGGGACGAGAUGGGCUGUUUUGAUCGCUGGUUCUAAUGGAUACUGGAAUUACAGGCAUCAGGUUUUUUUUUCUACGAUUGAUAAGUUGCACUGACUUUAAUUCAUUUGAUAAGUUUGUGUUGUGUUAUGAUGUUGACCUUUGUGAUUGAUUGGCGUUUUCGUGUUCGUAUUUCAUACUUUUUACCCAAAAUGUCUGUUGUGCAUUAUAUCUGUUGCUGAUACUUGUCUGAUCCAUUUUCUCACUGCUUUUUAUUUUUAACCUAAACUUUAUCAUCGGUGAUUCUUCUUGGCGUGAGAUCGAUUUUUUUUUUUUUUUCCAGUUAAACUAAGUCUGCAUUCUUUUGAUCUUUACUCUUCGUCGUCUGCUUUUUUGAUCGAUUGACUUUUUUCUGUUUUUCGAUUAAGAAAUUGUAGUAGUUCUGUUCUUAUCCGUUUCAUUUUUUUCAAUACAUAUGUUCUUAGUUUAUUUUAAAAGAAAAAAAAUAAUUAAGCCUUCAAAUUAAUUAAAUAUUUGUUGCUGUUAAUAAUUCUUAAAAAUUGAGCUGAAAUUCUCGAAGAACAUGGUUUUUUCAACGCCCUUCCAUUUGUCGUUGCUACCAUGUGAUCGAUAUAACUUUUCGAUUUUGCUCCAAAAUAACCACGUUACCUGUAGCUACUCUCAAACAAAGUUUCCUUGUUUAUAAUUGUCAUGUUGAACGAGUAACUGAGCGUUUAAGGCCUAACUGCAAAAGUUUAUUUGAAGGCACUUUUGAAAAGUUUUAUUUCUUGUGUUUGUAGUGACUUUUUUUUUAUUUUAACAAGUAACAGUUAUUUUCAGUGCUCUAUUUGGGUUGCAAAAUCUCAACUCCAUACUAGCCAUAGUUUAAAUUUCUUGGUACUAAACUGGAGUAAUCUUUUAUACUUCCUAUGUAUAAUAUAUAUGUAUAUAUAUAUUCAUGAAUAUCUGGGCUAGCUGAGGCACACAUGAGCAUUUGGGUGUCAAGGAAACAGGCAGGAUAUUAAAUUCUACGUAGGUGGUCACCAUGAAUUGAAUCCAUAACCUCUCAACCAUUUUUCAAGGUCAAUAUAACCAUUUAUUAUCUUAAUAAAAAAGAGUUUGUGACUCCUCUAUGGAAAGUAAAAAAGAGCUAUAAACACAACCAGUAAUUAAAGUUACAAAUCAAAGGAGAGAAUGGAGAUAUAAUUAAGAAUUAAUAUAAAUUUGUUGAACAAGCGUAAGUCAACAGAGUCUAGGUGCUACUAUUCUGCUCUCAACCUUGUUUUAUUAUGUGAGUGUCGUAGAUGGUUUAAUUGAUUAAAAAGGCUUAGAGAAUGCUGAACUCAUUUUCCACCAGGCUGAUAUCUGCCAUGCUUAUCAAUUGUUGCGGAAAAAUGGGCUAAAAGAUGAGAACAUCAUAGUCUUCAUGUACGAUGACAUUGCCUUCAAUCCAGAGAACCCAAGACCUGGUGUCAUCAUCAACCAUCCAAAGGGUUCUGAUGUUUAUCAUGGAGUCCCGAAGGUUUUCUUUUUCUCGUUGCCCUAUCGAUUCUAAUUUUACGCCUGAUUCAUCUGAUGGUAGCUACUUAUGCACUCUACGUUUUGGCCAUGGCAGGAUUACACUGGUGAAGAUGUUACCGUGAACAACUUUUUUGCUGCCAUUCUUGGAAACAAAACUGCUCUUACAGGGGGUAGUGGGAAGGUUGUUGACAGUGGCCCUAAUGAUCAUAUUUUCAUAUACUACAGUGAUCAUGGUGGUCCUGGUGUGCUUGGUGAGUGGCUUGUUCUGUGUAGUUCGCAUACUAUUUGAGGUGACCUAUCAUGCUUAUCUGGCACCAUCUCUUUGGAUAUGUUUGUUGCUCGAUGUGCUUGAUUUAUAUCUGUAAACAAUAGCACGAUUAGUUUACAUUUCCAUAUUAUCUUUUAAAGGCAGCCAACCAACCAAAAUUCAAUCUUAAAAAGCGUGCUUUGAUUUGAAACUGAUAGUACAGCCUCAUUUACCUAGGAAACACUUAUUGGUAUCAUUAUUGUAAAAACAUUAAUCGAAGAUAAACUUGUGUUAGAUUUCUCUAACUAGUUUGUUACUUGAUGGAUAAGAAAUUUCUCAUCUCUGAUAUAUCUUGUUCAGGGAUGCCUACCUAUCCUUAUAUGUAUGCUGACGAUCUUAACAAAGUUCUAAAGAAGAAGCAUGCUGCUGGAUCCUACAAAAGUUUGGUAUAUUAUUGUACUGUUCAUUGCUUGAGACUGCAUCUGUCCUUAUAAUGUAACCAUAUAUAAUGAGAGUGGAACUGUUUGUAAUAUUUUAGGUAUUCUAUCUCGAAGCUUGUGAAUCAGGAAGUAUCUUUGAAGGUCUUCUUCCUGAAGGUUUGAACAUUUAUACAACGACUGCAUCAAAUGCUUAUGAAAGCAGUUGGGGUACUUAUUGUCCAGGGGAUUAUCCUAGUCCUCCACCAGAGUAUGAUACUUGCUUGGGUGACUUGUACAGUGUUGCUUGGUUGGAAGACAGGUAAAAAGAUAAUAGUAGGCUUGUUCUAUUGUUUUUAUACUUUGUUAUUUUGUUAUUUUGUUGUUUUUGUUUUUGUUUUUUGCUUGGUGUUUUAAUUUAUCAGUAAAAGAAAAUGAUAUCAAUGCCGAAAUCCAAAAGGUAAUGUUUUUUGAUGUUGUGCAACUUUGAUUUUGGGCAUUUGUUCUGAUUUCCAUGUUCUCAUCGUUAUAUGUACUGCCGCACCAUACUUCUGGUGUCUAGUGUUCUGUCAAGCCGAAGAAUGAGUCUCACAAAAUUAUUAGAUCCAAAAGCAGAUUAUUACCUUUUAAAUAAGGGAUCCAAACGCAAAUGACGUGAGUUAAAAUAAUGAGGAAGUGGUUUAUUUUAUUCAGAACCUCAAGAUUUUUACUUUCGUGCUGUAACAGUGAUAAUCACAAUUUGAAGACAGAAAGUUUACGCCAGCAAUACGAACUGGUAAGAAUACGUGGACCUCCGUUUUAGGAGAAAUCAACUUCCCAAGUUUAAAUUUGGUUCUUAAAAAUGAAAAAUUUUCUACCAGAUUUUUUCAUCCUUUUGUAAUUGUACUAAAUGUACCAAGUCUAAAGGACAUUUUAGUGUGUUUAUCAAAAUGAAAAAAAAUCCCAUUAUGCUCGUUUGAUCUGAUUUGAACUGUUGGUUUCUUCAGGUGAAAAAAAGGACGCUAAGUGGCCAAUAUGCCUAUGGUUCCCAUGUCAUGCAAUACGGUGAUCUAAUGCUCAACAAGAACGCUUUGUUCUCAUAUCUGGGUACUGAUCCUGCUAAUGAGAACAACACUUUUGUCGAGGAAAACUCCUUGAGGCCAGCUACAAAGUUCACCAAUCAGCGUGACGCUGAUCUGGUCCACUUUUGGGAGAAGGUUAGUUUCUUCUUUUUCUAUUUUCAAAUGGAUAAUAUAUGAACCCUGCUUGGUAUACUAGUAUAUAGUAAAUAAGUGAUAUUUUGAGGUUCGCCAAAUUGAUAAUAUUUCCUGUUUUAGAUAGUGAGAACAAAGCAUUCUUGUGCGUUAGAUCCAAUUUUUGAGACUUUUGUGGCAAUUUUUUAAAUACUACACUUGUCACCUCUCUAAUGUAGGGAUUGUAGUAUUUACUUGUUAAUCUUGGGUUUUUUCUUGCUUAAAAUUAAUUUUGGUUUCGACAUCAUUCAAGACCCUCUCACCCCAUCCGUGCUUGUUGAUCUUAGUUUCGCAAAGCUCCAGAAGGCUCCCUGACGAAAGUCGAAGCUCAGAAGAAGUUCGUGGAAGCAAUGUCCCAUAGAGCUCAUAUCGAUAACAGUGUGAAGCUAGUUGGAAAGCUGUUGUUUGGAAUUAAAGAAGGUCCUGAGGUGCUUGAAGCCAUCCGUCCCGCAGGAAGACCCCUUGUUGAUGACUGGAACUGUCUUAGGAAUAUGGUAUAAUUUCAAUAUAAUUGGAUACUGCACAGCCCAUUUCAGUCAACCAGUCAAAUGAUGUUUAGUUAUAUUUUUACUCAGUAUAAAAGUUAGUUAAUUCUGAAAUGAUUCAAUACAAACAGGUUAGGAGCUUUGAGGCACGUUGUGGAUCUCUGUCUCAGUACGGAAUGAAACACAUGAGAUCCUUUGCAAACCUAUGCAAUGCUGGAAUCAGCAAGGAGCAGAUGGCGGAGGCAUCGGCGCAAGCUUGCAUGAGUGUCCCUCCGGGCCCUUGGAGCUCUCUACUCAAGGGCUUCACUGCAUGAUGACGAAACCCAAGUCAGUCAUCGGAUUUGGAAGUACGUUUCUCCCACCAUUGUUUAUAUCACAUCUAUGUUCAAAUGGGUCUGUCGACGACAAGUCAUUUGUAAAUAGAACCACAGGCCAUUGUGUUAGGUGAGAAAAAAGGGGCAUAUAAUUGAAAUGUUGAACUGAAGAAAUACGCAUCUGUUUAUAAGAAGAAGGCUCUGGUUGUGUUGGCAAGAACGAUCAAAAUUCCAAAUGUAUUGAUUGUAUGUAGUAGAAUUAUGGUGUGCUUUUUACAUUGAAUGACAAUAUAUUUUCACAUGAAUACAAAAUUCCAACCUCCAAAAGAAGAAAAGUGAGAAAACAAAAAUGCAUGAUUGAAAUAUUGGUGAGAAAAGGCAUAAGAGGUGGGCUAUACUUAUAGAUGGGAUAUGGGUGAGAAGGGUAGGCUCCACUCCUUUCCUCCUUCACUUGUUUAAACUUUCGUCAAUUUUAAAAGUAGAAUGGGGAGUUUGUGGGUUGUGGUAGUUGAAAAUGGUUAGAUGUUUUGGUAUAGAAUUUAGUGGGGGAAGAGAUAAAUCCACAUAUUGGGAUUAUUGGGAUACUGUUUGUGUGUGUGUGUGUGUGUGUGUGCCCCCAUUCUCCACCUCCCUGGAUCCACAUUCUUCUAUUAUUCCCACUUUUGCACGCUUUGUUUCUUUCCUUUUAUUAUUUUAAUACCAUCUAAUUUCAUGUUCUUUAACUUUAUUGUUUUAAUACCAUCAAUUUAUAUUGUAAAAAAAAAAAAAAAAAGAGUUCCUUUUGCAUCUUAUCUGAAUGUGAAUGUUGGUUUCUAUACUAUAUUUGUAAUUUUUUUAAGAUAUAAUGAAAAUAUGAUUCACUCUUUCAUCAUCUUAAUAUUGAGUUUAGUUAGAUAGAAUAUGUAACAUUUGUCAUCUUAGUAAUUCUUUUAAUCGUGGCUUUAAAUUUACUUUAUUAUUUUCUCGUUGUUUAGUAAAGGGAUGGAAUAUCAAUUAUUGAAACUCGAUUUGGUUGUUUUGUUUAAACCCCAAAUUAUGAAUCAGAAUUGGUUCCAUACAUAAUUCUCAAAAUCUCAUAAUUCUCCAAGAAAAUAAAGAUUUCAAAUGUAGUUUCUGGUCUAUAGAACUUUAAGUUUUUUUACUUUUAGGCUUCAAUAAUUUUUUUGUUUGUUAAAAUAGUAUUCUUUCAAUUUUUUAUUAUAUAUAUAUAUAGUUCCUAGUUGAAAGGAAAAGUUGAUUAAGAGGUAUAUGUGAUGAUUUAAUAAUUUAUUCGAAUGAUUGUGUUUGAAGAAAUUAAACUAGUUGCCAACUAUAUGAAUCAAAUGAUUUUGAAUUCAAAGGUAAUAGUUAGGGAAUUGGAUAUUUUUUUUUUUCUAGUGGAGCAUCUAAUGAUACCUUUUUCAAUAUCAUUAUUACGGAGAUGAAAAUAAAAAAUUGACUCUUGAAUUAGAAUUAUGUCAAUUACUAACAAGCUAAAUUCACCUUUUCAUUAAGAGUCAACGAGACGAAAACUAAUAUGGAUACAUACUUUUGUUUAAAUUCAACGAGUAUGAUUUGAUUAUUUUGUUUCUUUUAAAAUGAGUAUGAUCUUAAUAUUACAAAAUACAAAUGGAUGGACAAAAGUUUCUUAUUAAAAAAUCAACCCCACUACUGAACAAAGGCACCAAAAGAAAAAGAAAAAAAAAAGAAGAAAAUCUUCUUCAUAUGCUCUCUCAUUUGGAAAAACGAAAAGGAACAAAAGUCUUUUUAUCUUUUUCUUUUUUUCCUUCUUAAAAAGUAGAUAAAACUUCAAAUAUGGAAAAGGUAAAUUCACAUAAUGACUAAAAGCAUUUUUAUUUCAUAACCUUUAUUUAUACAUAAAUACGCAUGUGCCUUUAUUGGUAAUCUUUCUUUGUUUUUGUUUUUUAAUUGGUUUUUAAAAACUAAAGUGUAUUUGGUAACUAAUUCACUUUUUAUUUUUAUUUUUUAAAAAAAAACUUUUUUUAAAAUUAUAAAGAAAAAUUGAAAAUGAAAGGACAUCUUUAAAAUAACAACAUUAUCAAAUAUAUAUGGUUUUUAUCUUUAUAAAAAAUUAGAAAAUAGAAAAAUGAAAACAAAAAUAAAAAUUGAAAUGGUUAACUAAACCUGUUCUAGAAGUUUAAAAAUAUAAUGAUAAUUAUAAAUAUGUUUGGAGAUUUUUAAAAGAAGAAGAAGAAAAUUGACGAAUUAUUUACGUAAUCCACUAAAAGUCAAAAUUUAUACACUUAUUUCUCUACUAAUGAUAAAUAUUCUAUUUGUAUGGUUUUUCCCUUUUUUCUUUUUUUGGUAGAGUGGGGGCUCGAAAAUGAAGUUUAAAUAAAGUUAUGUGAUGAACUAACAAUAGGCUAAAAAGAUAAAAUCUUAUUAAAUUUACAUAAUGUUUUUUAAAAAAACGAACUCAUUUAUUAAAUUUGAGGGUACAAUGGUGAGUUUGAUGUGAUUUUUUAGAAGUUAGGGAAGGAGUGGAAAGUGAAAAUAAAUAUAAGCUUAUAAUUAUUAAUAAACAUGAGAAAAGUGCUUUGCAUUAUUAGGAAGUUUACAACAAACUCUAAUUUUUAAUUUAACUUGUUUGUUUCUAAUUAAUAUAAUAUCAACUUGUCAAUAUUUGAACUUUUAUAUAACAUUUCAGUCCUUACAUAUUCUUUUAUAACUUUUAUAUUCUCCAUUUAAAUCCUUUGACUAAUUAAAACUUUUAUUAUGUAUAAGGAAAAUUUUAAAAAAUAAAAUUUAUAAUUAUUAAGUAAGCAAGUGAAUGGUACGAAACAUGUAAGCCUCAAAGUUAUUAUUUCAAUUUUAUUUUAUCAUCUUUUAAAACACGUUCGAUGUUGAUGAUCUAAGCUUUUUACAGUUCUUGGUAUAUGAUUGCAUGUGUAAAGAGUUUAAACCUCGAGUAGGGAAGUAGUUAUACUUUCCUUGAGGUCUUCAAUCAUGACAAGAUUUUUAAUUUUUAAAUUUUUAGAAUUAAAGUUUUCAUAUAUAUAAAAUAAAUUUAUUAAGUAAUUUUGUAUGAUUGACUCAAACGAAUGGUGUCUCGUUUAUAUAAUAUUAGGAUUUGUGGUAAAUAAUUUAUGGGAUGGUUUUGGAGAUGAAAAAAAAGUAAAAGAAUAUGAAGAAAUAUAGAGUUGCAUUUAAUGAUUGUAUUGUGGUGUUUUGAAACAUCACGACUCUCUUCCACAAAACGUUUUCUAAAAUCACAAUGGAUAAAGUCAAAUUGUUGGUGAAGAAUCCUUUGUUUUUUCCAUUAAUAAUUGUAUCUAUCAAAUUUAAACUUUAUCCAUUUUUAUAUUUUACAAAAAUCUACCUACCAAUCAUAAAUAAAAUUAAUUUACAUAUUAAUCAUAAUUAACUAAAAAAUGCAAUAAUACAUUAGAACACUACCACUACAGGUUUUAACUAUGCCAAAUUAGUUUUAAAACUUUGAAAUAUAUGUAUAUACAUUAUAUGGUAAAGUAUUGAGGUAGAUUUGUUAGAAUAUUAAUAAAAUAAAGUAUCUAAGUUGAAAAGAAGGUGAAGGGGAGGAAGACAUGCAAGGUGAUUGGAUUACAAACUAAUUACAAACUAGAUUUGAGAAGAAUAGUUUGAAUUUUGGGUAGUAGAAAAGGGAGAAGGUAAGAAUGAAUGGUAGAAAUAAAUAUUUGGUUAAAGGAAACCCUAAUAUAAAUGUUUAUAAAAGAAUGAAUUGAAGGGGUCAUUGAUUGCAGUGAAAUGAAAGUAUUGAAAGUUCAAUAAUUUGGAGAGCCCCAUGGGACGUAUAAUCGGUUUGGGUAUUGACCGGAUACGACAUUACGAAAGCACUUUUAUUCAAAUGCUUUAACCAUGGUUAAUACUCCAAACUAACCAUAGUUAAGUACCCUUCCCGGUUCUAUCUAACCUCUAACCUCUAACCUCUAACCUCUAAGCUCCAAAGCUCUAAAGCUCCAUCACAUCGGCGGUUCCACACGAAAACAAAACUUAAAUAAUAAUAUAAAAGAAUAUUUUAUUUUAUUUUUGUUAGGAGAAUGAACGGACGUUAAAGAUUCCGUCAAAUUGGUUAACGCGGGGGGAUAAACGUAACGGUCGAUUGGAGAAGAGAGGAAGGAGCGGGACUCUCAGUGGACGGAAAAGCAGAUGAUGAAGCAGAGCCGGACGAUGGUUUGAUGGACGGUCAUAGAUGGAUAUUGCUGAACGGUUUAAGCGAUGUGGGACUUGGAAGAGCGUAUAAAAAUAGAGAGUUGAAAGGGUGAGAGGCCAUUUCGUUGUAUCAUUGAGGAAGGACCUCUCUGUACUACUUCUCUUUAAACUUCCCUUCUAACUCUUUCUCUCUCUCUCUCUUUCUCUUUCUCUUUCUCUUCUACAUAUUUAUAUUUCUUUCUCUUGAUGUCUCUGUAAUUAUUUCCUUCAUUUGAAGCUUUCAAAACCACCCAACAGCUUAAAAUUUUGAUAGUAUUACUGGGUUAAUCGAUCUAAGAUGGCUCGGGUCAUUGACGACUUUUAAGGCAUUGAAAUUGUUGUAAGAGAUGAGAUAAUCGACGGGGGGGAAUUUGAAUCUGGGGUCUGUUUUCUUGGCUGAUUCUGUAAUUGAUUUUUUUUUUUUUAAUAAAUUCGGAGUUGAAUUUUUGGAGAAGAGACUUUGAGUUUUGAAGGUUUGAUAAUUGAAAUCAAUUCACUGUUUAAGGUCUUUGUUGUUCUGGGUUUAGAUCUUAUCUUCUGAAAUUAGUUUCUAACUCUUGAAAUUUUCGUUGUGCAGAUAAAUACAGAGCGAUUUUAGUUGUUCGUUUGAGGGGUUUCUAAGAGAUUUGUUACCUUUUUUGAAAGUGGAAGAAGAAUUGGACUGAGAAAAAUGCAAGCGAUUAUCGGACUCUGGGAUUCGGAUUUACAUUUCGCUUGUUUUCUGCGGUGAAAUAAGCAGAUUUCUGUUCUUUGGAAGAGCUGAUUCUUGGGGGGGAGGGGGGCAAACCCAGAUCAGAAAUUUCAGGUACUGAUUGGUUAUCUUCUUGGUGUAUUUUGUAGGCUCUGUUCUUUCUGUUCUAAUUAUUUUCGUCCGAAAUUUCAGGUCUGAUUUUCUUCCUGUUCAUUGCUACCUUCAGCAUCCAAUAGCUAUCGCUUCCUCCUCUGUUCGAAUUCUUAGGGUCUGAUAAUAUGCUUUCAGAAUUUAAAAAUUCGAGUUGCUUCUUCCAUGGAAGGAUCUUCUAUCUCUCUGUGAGCCAUUGGGAAAUCUGGAUCCCCUGUUUCCAUGUGAAAUUCUUCUUGUUUCUUUGAGUUCCUCACAUUUUCAAGAUUUUCCCUCAAAUUUCCUCUUAAUUUCAGACCCAGCGUCUUCCCAAUACUUUUCUUCAGAAACCCAGACCAGUUCGGCUUUUCAAAUUUCGUGAAUUCCGUCUUCGGAUCAUCGAGAAAACCCCAUGUUCUGGUCUCUGACUGUUUGAUGUUCUCCUCGAGUAAAGUUUUUACAGUGUUGAUGGCGAAAACGUCAUAUUUCAGUGCUUGAAAUUUCUAAUCACCUUUGCUCUGUCCAUUUUUCUUCGUAACUUCGGGAUUUUCAUCCGAAUCCAAUUGACUGCAGAACCUGCUUUUUAUCCAUUUCCCCUUUCGUUUCUCUUUGCUACUUUAAUUGUAGAAUCUUCUGAGUAAUCUUUCUUCAGACUAACCCCCUUUUGAAAUGGGACAGGUAGUGUAUAUAUAAUUAAGCAUAUGGAGAAAGAAAAUCUCAGAAUCAAUAGCCAUGGCAAUUUCGUUAGUAAUAAUCUCAACGGGAGGGAUAGAACCAGCGUGGACAGCUCGCUGUUGUUGCGAGCGAGAUCCGAAGCCGCCGUUGUCGCCGUCGCAACGAGACCGCAGCCAACGCCGUCGGAAUUUGUGUUACAAUGGGGAAACCGGAAGCGUCUCCGGUGUAUGAAAGUUCCGGUUAAGGCCAAGGAUGUUUCCGCCGCAGCACCGGCUCACAGAACCACCGUCCGAGUGGACCGGCGAGUCGUUAGAGCCGAUAAAGACUCGAUUAUACAUAACCACCAACCAACUUCUAAUCAUAACCUUAAUCCGAGUAAUGGGUAUUUGAAUCUCCGUCAACGGCCGAUUUCUCCUCAACCGCCAGUUCUACCGCCGCCGCCAGCUCCAUCUCAGCGUAUUCUAAGGUACUCUCUGUUUCUCUCUCUUUUCUUCAACGCCAAUCUUUCGUAAUUUCUUUUUUAAUCUCUUUGAUCGUUCAAAUCUCAUCCGAUAUUUGAGAUUCCUUUUUCCCGGCUAUGGGAUUCAAAAUCCCGAUGUAUUCUUUUAAAUGGGCCUUUCUAUUUGGGCUUUUAUUUUAUUGGGCUUUUUAUUUGCUUGCUGUAACGCACUGCAUAUCUAAAUAUCUAAGAAACAUAUUAUCGCUAUUUAUAUACUCAUAUCAUAAUCAAUAUUUGACAACAUAGUCUAUGAUUAACACUUAUUGGCUACAUUAUUGUAAAAAAAAAUUCAAUAAUCUUUCUUUUUCAAACAAUAAAAAAAUAAUUGUAUAAAUGCAACUUGGUAUUGGAAUCUGAUGAAAUGAUGAACCAAACAUUGAAGGACGCAAUUUAGCCUCGUUGAUUAGGACACGUCUUCCAUUUCUUCCACGUGUCGUUUUCACUGUGGAAUAAUAGCCGUCGGAUCAUCAAUCGCAGUGACCACUGGUGUCCCCAGAGUGUCUCCAGAUCGGCUGCCCUGGAGCGGACACGUAAUCUCGAACUUGUAGAUCCAAAGGCUGAGGUUGGGGCGAGGUAGUCAUGAUUUGAAAAGACAGGUUUGUCCUUAAGAAAAAUCUAAGCCAUUGAAUGAAAGAAUAGAGACGAAGUCCCCCAUUUUGUACGCAAAUUCUAAGCCAGAUUUCCCCCAACGAACUCCAACAUCCUCCAAGGUCAUUCCCGUAAUUUCAGCCCACGAACGUAAAUAAAUUAAAUUUGCUUUUCUUCUUUUUUCCCUUUUUUUUUUUCUUCUUCUUUAAUGAGUAAUCUUUCAAUCUUUCGUGAGAUUUGUUCUUUAGGCCUUUUGUUUUGGUAAUCUAUGUGUGUAUGUCUUGUGGGGUUGGGAGUCUUUUUUUUAAAAAAAAGAACUUUUUGGUGAAACUAAGUAGUAAACAAACAGAGACUGAGUUUUUGUUUUUAAAAAAAUUUGAUUAGGAACUCUGAGAUUUCCGGUACGAUGAGAGCCCAAUCCAACGGCGGUGUCAGAGCAAUUACUUCUCCGGACAGGGCAGCGCCGGAGAAAAAACCACCACCGUCUCAUCACGACCACCACCAUAAAUCCGCCGCUACCUCAGACACAAAAAAAGGUGGGUCAUCUUCCGGCAGCGGAGAACCAACUGCACCGCCGCAAGCGCUGCCGGUUUGGCCACCGAAGUUCGUAAUAGCUUUAACGAACAAAGAGAAGGAAGAAGAUUUCAUGGCGAUCAAAGGGUCAAAACUGCCUCAGAGACCUAAAAAACGAGCAAAAAUUAUUCAACGCACCAUCAAUGUAAGCAAAACACCAAUCCCCCCGUCUUUACUUUUCCAGAUUCGUUCUCUACCUUUUCUUUUAUUGGUUUUAAUUACUUUUUCUUCCUUAGUUACGAACUGAUUCUCAUGCGCUAUAAUUAUUAAUUAUUAAUUAUUAAUUAUUAAUAUCAUUAUUACUUCUGCUUUAAUUAUUUAUUUGAACCCUAAUUUUCUUUUAAUUUUCACCGAAUAUUUAUUUCCUAGUAAUUAUUCAAUGAGAGCAUUAAUUGAAAAUAAAACGAAAAAGGGGGGUGUGGGGGUGAGAGAGAGAUAUUAAGGGGAGAGUUGUGGCAAUGGAAGGUUGAUGGAAUGCCACGUGGAGAGAUAUGGUUUGAGUGUUAUUUACCGGAAAUGAAGGCAUUGUGUGUGGGUGAAUGAAUGGUUUAACCAAUUACUAGUCGACAGAUAGACAAUCGCUGAGUUGUCCCAUCCUCGCCUUCAACAGUUGGGAGUCCUUUGGGUUUCUUUUUCUUUUAUCUAAAUAAUCAUGUUCACAUUCAACCUUACUUUUUGUAAUAAAUUCUUAAUUUCCCUCUUCCCUUUUACUUUUCUAUAAAUAAUAUUUGUAAAAGUAUAUUACAUUUUGUUCAGGAUUUAUUUAAUUUGUGUGUUGGUUUGGUGUUUGGUGUUUGGUGUUUGCUAUUUGGUGGUGGCAGCUGGUGAGUCCGGGGACGUGGCUAUGUGAUUUAACGUUGGAGAGAUACGAAGUAAGGGAGAAGAAAAUUUCUAAAAAGGUAUGUAUUUUUUUUCUUCUAUUUUUUGUGUUUAUUAAUUUGUGAAUUGUAAGAAUUGAUUCUUGUUAUUUGAAUGUGUUUGGGAUGCAGAGACCAAGAGGGCUUAAGGCAAUAGUGAACAUGGAGUCGGAGUCCGAGUGAGGAAAAGAGGAGAGUUUCUGAUCACAUACCAAAUUAAUUUAGAACCACUGUUUUGUUGUGAUUUUGUGGAGAGGAGGGGAAGAAGCUUUUAAUUAUGUGAAUUACAUAAAUAUAAAAUAUAUAUAUAUAUAUAUAAGUUGUAGAUUUUCUCUUGGCUAAUUGAUUUUAUUAGCAUAAUGAAAUUGUAAUUAUUCUAAUUUUUUAGUUCUAAGUUGAUCCUUUUGAUAACGGUUUUCAAGUAGAAAUUACCAAUUCUUAGAUUGAAAAUAGAAAUGAGGGUGGAAGCUACAUUUGUUUAUGGAUUAAAGAGCUUUUUCUUUUUUUCUUUUGUGUAAAGAUAUAUUGGCUUAUCAACUAACUUUUAGAAAAACAAAUCCUCCAAGAAUGAAAAAAACUCGGAUUAUCACUUUACUACAACUGCGUCAGUUGAUUCUCUAUCUUUUUUUUUUUCUUUCUCCUCAUCCUUCUUCACAUACUAAAUCAAAAGCCUAAUUUCCCGAAGUUCCCAACUUUAAUUUCCCACACUUUACACCCACCCCUUCCUCUCCUUCAAACUAUUUCUUUCUUCAACAUAUUUUUUCUUAAAAUUAACACAAAAAAAAAAAAAAGUUUCAUACAAUAACUUAUGAUAACAACUUACGUAAACAGUAGAAGGUAUUUCCUUUGGUUUGACAAAAUCAUAGAGAAUAAUGAAACUAUUAUUUUAUAAUGAAAUUCUUCAAAUGGUAGAGACUAAACUACAACUCUCUUUGAAUCAUAUUUAUUGUUAAUUAGCUAGUUUUAUGAUUUAUAAAUAUAUUACAAACACGUUAAACAAAUUUUAAAAUUAUAAUCUAAUUGAAUUUGUUUCCAAACACAUAUUUAAGAUAAAACAUAAAACAUGAAAUUAAGGAGAGGAAGAACUCUAUGUUACCAAAAUACUUUUCUUCUAACUUUUACAGAAAAAACAUUCUUAGAUUUAAACAUAAUUUUAAAUCUAUAAUGGCUGGAUUGCCAUGGUAUUAAAAAAUUAAAUGUAAAUCAUAAAAAGCUAAUAUUGCAAUAUUUAGAAUUGUAAAUUUCUUGAAACAAUCAAAUAAACUUCAUGUGAGUUCAAAAGGGUAUGCAAAAUAAAUUCUAUCGAGUAUAUAAAAUAAAAAGAAUGAAUAAAGAAAAGGAAAAAAGAACUCAAAAUGAAAAUAUAUUUGAGUUGAGCAUCACAAAGAUCACAAGUAGACUUUAUUAGUGGACAACAGAAAUCAACCAAUAUACCAUUUCAUUAAUAUAAAUAAUUCUCUAUAUGCUUUGGAUUCGUCCUUCUUAGAGAAGAAAAAAGAAAAGCAAAAAAGGCAACCAUGUUCUUGUCAUCAAUUCUCUAGCUGUAAAAAUUGCCAACCAUAAAAUUAUUGGCACCUUUCCCUUUCGGGUUUUCAUUAUUCAUUGCACAUGCCUCGCUGCCCCACAAAUUCUACUUCAAUUGGACUUCUGUUGGUCCAGAUUUCAAAUUAUUAAAUAUGCCUUACAAAUCUUGGAAUUCCACAAUUUAAUAAUCCUCAACUUAAUUCGGUAGUACACAAAAUGAUUUCUGAUGGGGUUUUUUUUUUCUCUCUCUCUCUCUCUCUUCAAGAAGAAAUUAAUCAAUCAAUUACAGUGAGAAUUACCAAAUUGUUUUGGCUAAGCGAAGAAUCUCAAAGAAAUUGUUGCAGUUAGAUAUAAUAAGCGAGUGUGUUCGUAUGAAUGAAUGCAUGAAAGAGUAAAGAAGAAGAGAGUAUUUAAAAAGAACGAAACAAUUUAUUUACUAAUCAUAACCAACAAAAUAUAGCACAAUCGUGAACAAACCAACACAACCUGCAUUCUAUAUAUAAGAAUGUGUAAACAAAAGAGGUCGUCUGUACCAAACGUGUAGAAAUUAAAGUCCCUUAGAAAAACAUCUAAAACAAAUUCCUCCGCGGCGCAAGGUUUUAGUUGAAGAGAGAAAAGAAAAAGAAAAAGGAAAAGCAGACCAUCACAAAUACAUGGAAGAGUCCAUGGCAAAAUCAAUCACCACAUCCGAAGGCCGGUAGCUCAGAUCCUGAGAGUAGAUCCGAAGGCGAGAGCAAGGAAAGCAGCAAGGCAAGCGGAGACGGCCGAAGGAGCAAUGGAGGUGGCAGGGGAGGCCGGACUGGGAGCCGGAGCCUCCUGAGCGGCGACGGAGGAAAGGGCGAAGAUGAGGGCAAUGAGAGCGAGGAGAGAAACUUUGGAGAGGGCGGCCAUUGGGUAAAAGAGGUAAUGGGGGCGGGGGGUUAGGGUUGAGGCGGGAGAGAGGAGAGAGGAGAGAACCGUUUGAUUGGGAAAUGAGAAAGGGAAAUAGUAGAAGGAGAGAUAUAUAGAGAGAAACGGGGAGGUGCAAGCUGGCGAAUGGUUGAAAGACAGCUCAUAUAUGGGUGUGGUUCCCUUUUCCACAAAGAGCAUCGACGGGGAAUAUAUGCAUUCUCUUUCCACCGCACAACAUUUUAGCCAUCAACAACUACACAACAAAUAUAAAGUAAUUUUUUGUUUUUAAAUUCCAUUUUACACCUUUUUUUUUUCUUUCUUUUUCAACGGAUUUAUUCCAUUCAUGCUUUUUUUUUUUUCUUUUCAAUUUUAAACUUUAACGUUUGCUGUAUGGUUAUAUAUAUUAUCACUAUUAUUUUGUUUUUCUUUUUUAAGCUUUUGAAAAGUAGAAAAAAAAUUAAUACGUUAUAAAUUUGAAAAGCAGUAAGUUUAAAAGUAAUAAUCAUCUAAUAACCUUUAGAUAAUCGUUUCAUAUUAUUAAUUAUUUGUCAUAGUUGUCAUAUUCGAAAUAUGUAUAAAAAAAAAAGGUGUGAACUGUUUUAUUAAGUUAGUACGAUAUUUAUCAGCUUCAUUAAGAUAUUUAUACUUACUAAUAUUACGUUGCAAACUAUAGGUUUGGAAGGUCUUUGGAUGAUUUUCAUCCAUCCUAAGUUUAUUAGAUUUUUUAUCAGUAACAUCGAUCUCAUCUAUUCAACAACUUUUAUGGUACAUGUACUUGUUGGGAUGAGAUUAAAAUAUCAAUUUUAAAUUAUUUAUUGACGUUUUAUCUACAAAUUUACACUUGAGAGGAGUAGUUCAUCUAUCUUAUAUGGAGUAUGAGUCACAUUGUUUUUUCCAAUGUGAGACUCUCAUCUUCUCCAACAUGUCCCUCAAGACAGUGUCUGUUUGAGUUAACUUAUAUUGGAUCAAAUACUCAUUUGGAGAAAAUAGAGAAUCGGUUUCUUACAAAUACUCUUGUCUUCACUCUUUAUUUUGGUAUUAGAGCUUGAAAAAUGGCCAACGCCUUUUAUGCCUCAUCCUCGUCGAUGAUUUCAAACUUUAGCAAUCCUCCCCUAAAUCAACUACUAAACCAACAUGUUCCCUCAGGAUGAUGCUUAUUUGGGUUCACCUAUCUUUAACAUAAGGUGACUAUAUGUUUAGAAUCACAUUUUCCAUGAAUUGAAUAGUAAUUGAAUAGUAAUGACUCAUGAUCAUAUAUUUUUUUAAUAUAUAUGGGCACUAAUCAAACAUUUUAGUUCAACAAACGUUUUUUUCAAAACAAUAAUAAUAAACAAUGGACAUUAAUUUUAAAAUUAGAAUAAUGAUAUUAAAUAUCUCUUUACUUCUCAGCUUUUAUAUAAGGUCCAAAUUCAAAGGAUGCUAUUAAAGUUUCAAACAAAAUACUUUUCUUUUUGAGAGAGAUAUUCUUUCUCUUUAAAAUAAAGAUGAGACAAUGGAUGUGAUAGAUUAUGUAUAGAAAUAAAAAUACAUAAACAAAAUUAUUUACAACUAUAAAUAAAAUUAAGAAAGUUAUUAGCAUUAAUCUCAUCGAAUUAAUUUAGCUAACCAAAAAGAAGCAAAACAGCGUCGUUUGGUUCAUAACGUUAAUGAGUCCGUUGUAAAAGUGGAAGAUUCUAUUUGGUUUAGGGUUAGUGGAAACCAUGGGGGAAAUAAUAUUGAAUUCAUCCAGAUGCGACAAUGGCGCGUGUUAUGUACGAUAAGCAUCGAAGGGAUGUGAGAAGAUGGGGACGGUGGAAAAUUAGAGCGUGGAGUGAAGAAAACCCAAAAAGGGAAAGAAGGAAAAGUAAAAAUGAUGGGGGGUGGGGCCGACAAGCCAAUAAUGGGAAAAAUAGUUGUUGUGAACGUGGGGCCCAGGAUAGAGUGACCGCGCUGUGUUGUUAGGAAAUGACAGGUAAGAGUGAUUGGCCACUGGCUUCUUUUUAAUAUGGUUCCAGAAACUUCUUUUUAUGCACGCCAAUAUCGUCCUUUCCACACAAACUCUCUUUUAAUAAGUAAUAACCACUUUUUUUUUUUUUCUUUCUUCUUUUUUAUCAUGUAAAUGCUAUUAUUGUUCGACUAUAUCAGCUUGUUUGUAAACCUAUCAAUUUACAAUUGAUAAAAAAAAAAAAAAAAGAUAAUGAAGAGUCCAAGUUAUGUUAAUAAUCUUCAGUUAGUUCAAUAGUAUCUAGGGUGGUAAAGAUUUAAAAUCGAGUUCAACACCAACAAAGUGAACCAAUUAAGGGCAUUUUUGGCAUUGUAAUUAAAUCUCGAAUGAGAUUCUGUAUAAUCUAAUGAUGCAAAUUUAAGUAGUGUUCGGGUGAAGGAGCGAGAAGUAUUGAGUAAGGAAUGAAACAGUAAAAAAAGAGAGAAAUGGAGGAUUAUGGAAAACAUGUCCUUGGUCAAACGAGCGGUGAAGUUUGGACUAUUUAUCUUUUUGGAAUUUCGAGAACUAUAUAUAUAAAUAUAUUCAACUAGUUUUGAGCAAUACAUAGGUUGAAAAAAAAGAAAGAAAGAGAGAGAGAGAGAGAGAGAGAGAGAGAGGUACUGGGAAGAAAAGGAAACAAAUAAAGACCGUUCAUGCCAACUCCUCAAACUUCAUUCUUAUUUAAAAAGAAAAAGAGAACAGAUAGAUGAGGGGCAUUCAAAUAUGAUCAUUUUCUUUUACAGUGGGAGAUAU